RNAcentral lists this long non-coding RNA (66505 nucleotides) under Sorghum bicolor (sorghum). RNAcentral describes it as "long non-coding RNA (SBIC_LNC017610)". Lineage: Eukaryota; Viridiplantae; Streptophyta; Magnoliopsida; Poales; Poaceae. The record is from RNAcentral.
GGAAUCCAAUAAAUAACUUGAAUGUAAAUAAAAGUAAUUAAAGAACUCAGGAAUUAUGAAUUGAAGAACCUGGAGAACGAUGAAGAACGAACCAGAUGCUGCAAAAGUAUAAUGUUGAGGAAGAUCCGACAGAUCCGGCUCCUCCGCUCUCCUCUUCUCUCUCCCUAUUUUCUAGAUUACAACUAGAACUAACUAGAACUAGAACUAGAGGAACUAGAACUAGGCCUAGAUGAACUAGAACUAGAUCUAGAUGAACUAGAGGUAGAACUAGAAGAACUAGAGGGAUCCUCUCUACUUGGAUGAAGAAUUGAAACCCUAGCUUUGAUUCUGUAGAAGAGGUAUGAUCUCCAGGGGCCAGGGGGUCUGGUUUUAUAGUCCCUUCAAGUGAAUAUGGGCCGUUGGAUCAAACCGACAUUGAUUAAACGGUUAUCCUUGAUCCUUUAGGUCGGUGGAGCAUGAUCCCCGAGUUGUACCCUGAUUGGGCAGAAUAGGUGGGCGGGCGCCCUCAGGACUUGGGCGGGCGCCCUGUCCCUGAGCCCUAUCAGCCUCCACUUCGGUCCCGUGGCUUCUGGAGUCUUGUAGAUGAUAGAAAAUUGCGCGGCACGUUAAUAUCUCUAUGUAAACCCGACGUGUGGGCCGUUCUUCCGUAUUUCCUGAUAACCCCCUACAGAAAUAGACAAACACCAAAACUCGUGGAAUUCUGUCAGAUAAAACCCUAAGUCUAGGUGUUAGUUGCAUUUGGAUCCUUUUCCAUGAUUAGUUGAUGGUUAAAUAUGAGCAUUAAGGACCGUCAACAAGCUCCCCCGAGCUUAACCUUUGCUCGUCCCUGAGCAAAGAUGAACUUAAGAGUUUCUGUAGUGGUUUCAUGCCUUAAAGAUAUACAUGCGUUCAAACAAGAUCUCAUCUCUGGGUUAGGGUAAUCUGUUAAGAUUUAAACUUACACAUAUUACCUUUCACCAUGGGGCUUGCAACCAUCACUUGUGUCUUGAGUAGUUAAAAGAUAGAACGGUCUAGUCAAGCGCCAUAUCUCUUGUUCUUCGAUUAACUAUAGCUCUGGAGUUUUUGUAGAUUUUCAAAUAAAACUCAGAGAUUCCUUGUAUGACUCUCUCUAGUCUCUCUUUUGUGGUAUUUCUGGAGCCUUACCAAGGCCGUAAAGGUGUAUGCCUUCUCUCAAAGUAUGUGGUAUUUUUGGUAUGAGGCAUAGUGACAUUGCCUUCUCUCUCACCCUACUCUAAUAAGGUUUUGAUAUCAGGAGCUCAUAGGUGGGAGACAGCUAAUACAUACUUACAAGACAUUUAUUGCAUAGUCAAACCAUGGAUCCAGAAGAACAAGUCCAUAAGUCAAAUCAAGAUGUGCAUGUGUGGCGAAUGAAUGGUGUAUGGUGAUGAUGGUGAUAACAAUGGUGAAAGUCUAAUUCUACUUGUGCUCUUUUGAGGGGAUACAUACCUUUCUUGCUCUUUUGAAACUUUUUGAGGAGAAUGAGAUGCUCUAUAUUUUCUUUUUAUUUUCUCUCAGGUGGGUAUCUUGUACCCCUAAUUCUACUAUCGGACAAUUGUCCAUUUUUACCUCUCGUCUCACUUUUUCUUUUCUUUCGAGGUUCCGGGCACUUGCCCCUUUUUAUUUCCUCGUAUUCUUUCUUCUUUUUUUUCUUUCUCUUUUUUUAGAGCACUCAUCUCCUGAAAUAAUAUAGCAAGUGGUAGUAACAAGAUAACUUGAGCAUUUAUUUCACAGGGGAAAACAGAAAUAUUUUUGGCUAUUCUCUCCCGGAUUAGGAGUAGAGUAUUUUUGGGUGGUUCUGGAGAUGGAAAUGGAUGGAUAUAUGUGGAUGCGUACUUCCGAAGUAUAGCAUGUAUGAGUGAACGUGCAAGUGAAUCUUGAUUUAACUGCAUGAGAAGCUCCUAAGGGUCUACACAGCUUGACCACACUCAAUGCUCGUAAGUAGUAAAAAGUAAAUGUGUGGCUCAUAGUCUAGCAAGCAUGUAUAUAUGGCCGUGGUAGGAAUUUAAACUCUCAUCAUAGAGGAACUCAUCAUGCAACAUUUUAAAGAUUUUCAAAGAUAAAAUUCUCCAGAAUUCUAGCAUCUCUAGGAACAAAUAAACAACAGCUCAACCUUCCCAUAUCAUACCCAUUAACGACUUAGACUUUAGAUCAAGUACUCUUCCCACAAGUUCAGGUUUAGAGCAAAUCUUAAUUAAUAACAGUCAUGUCUAAACUUAAGAGAGAUUUCAAUUUAGAGAACUAGUCAUGGUAGAGCAACUAUACAUCAUUUCCAUUUGAGAGCUUACCAUGAGGGUUUAUAGCAAAUUUUAUUUAUUUAUUUAUUUAGCAAACUAAGCAAAGAUAUAUAUAUAAGCACAAAAUCUUUAUUUGGGUUUAUAUGAUUAUGCAUCUUUUUAUUAUUAGAGUAAAGUAUAAACGUGAGUAGAACACUUAGCUGGAUAAAUGGGGGUGCUCUCCCCCAAGCUGGAUUUUGACAUGUAGCUAGUAGGUGGUGGAGGUGUAUUUGAAUGUCAGCAGCACCCUGACAGUGAUUAGGAUGUCCUCCGUCUGCUAGUCUUCGUUGAUCCUUGAAUUCUGUGGAGCCCAAAUAGACAACAAAGCUUUGUGGAACUAGUUAAGUGUUAGCAUAAAUAUCUAGCCUUUAUCAUGUUGAGCCUCUUCAAUAAAUGUUAUUUUCUUUGGUAGGAUCAGAAAUUUAUUUUUAUAUUUUUGUUUUUAUAGCACAUAAAUAUAUUUAUUUUAUUUUUAUGCCACCACAGUGAAUGUACUUAUGGGUUUUAUGCCAUGAGCAUACUCAUAUGGGGCUUACUAUUUUUAACAUUUUUAUUUUCUUUUCAAGAUGAUAUGAACCUAAUUAACUAAGCAAACUAUUUUAAAAUAAUUGAAAGGAAAAGAUAACUACCAAGUUUACCUCUUAGCAAGGCAUUCGGUGUUUUUAAGUCCUCCGAAUGGGACUCUCUGUUUUCUUAGUCGUCCUAGGAUUCGCUGGAUGGCGUAGUCGGUGGUUCCGGCGGCGCCUCCUCUUCAUGUAUAACUAUCUUCUCUCUCCACAACUGACUCGGUGCUACGGUCUCCUCAGGACAAUUCUGAUCAAGCUGUAUGUCUUCAAACCUUACUACUUCUCCUUCGUAGUCUGCUCAUCCGUCCUUGAUGAUUUGCCUGCUCUGGUUGCGGUUGCGUCGUCUUCUUCUUGUCUUGACUUGCUUAGAGUCUUCAACUAUAUAGUUAGGGUCAGUAAAAUAGCGGCAUACCUUCUCAGAGGGGAAGUUCAUGUGGACUUCUCCGGUUCCAAUGUAGAUGAUUGCUUUAACGGUGCUGAGGAACGGUCUUCCAAGGAUGACCGGUGGAUUGUACUCGUCUUCUCCCAUGUCAAUAACCUUCAGCCUUUCGGAAUGUUUGAUCUACCAUCUGGAGCUGAAUGUAUGUUGGUUUUAGGGGCAUGGUUCCGAACAUGAGCUGAUAGGUGACUGGGUCGUCCUUUUUGGUCAGGAACAGUCACUUAAGUCGACGAUCUUGACCUACUUGAACUGCAGUGACCAUCUUAGCUGACUCGGUCCACAUUUGCUUGUUCCUGUUCCUCCUGUUGGUCCUCUUCCUUGGUUCAUGUCGGGAAUGCUCUGAGAUUUGUGUAAUCUUGUUCUCGAAGGAAAACGUCUCCUUCCUCCCCUUGAUGUAGAAACUGAUCUUGGCAGCACUAGCGUAGAUGACAGCUCCCGAGGUGUUCAGGAAUGGCCUCCGUAUGAUGAUGGGUGCCUUCUCAUCAGUACCAGUUUCUAUCACCAUGAAGUCUGCUCGGGCGUACAAGGUACCAACUCGAACGCAGAGGUUCUUCACUAUUCCCUUUGGGAAACUUAGCGUACGAUCUGCAAGCCUGGGCAUAAUGUUGACGCUGGAGCCAAAGUCACAGAGUCCUUCUAGGAACUCCACCAUGCCGAUGGAGAUCGGGAUGAUUGGGCGUCCUGGAUUGUCUCUCUUGACCGGCAGAAGGUCAGUAAUUACUUCCACAAUGGGGUUACUCCAGUAGUUACGUCCUCAAGCAUCUCAGGGCAGUGAUUGCCUGAGUGUCUAGUAUCUCCAGUGUGUUUGUGCUCGUAGAUCUAGGUUCUUCACUUGGUGGAGUCUGGGAGUUGUAAAACUUCUUCAUAUUUUGCUCGAAGUGUACCUGCUCAUAGAGACAAGGCAGAGAUCAAGUGCAUGGGCCCUGUUGGUGGAAAACACCAACAGAACCAAAAGUGUAUUUGUUCUUCUCUAACCUUAAGCAUAGUGAGCAAGACAAAGUUGAUGGAUAAUAAGAUCAUGAGUGUAGCAUUUAAAACAUUUGUCAGAUCAGAUCGCUCAACCUAAUGGAAAGAUAAUCUAUCUAUAUUUAUGUUUUGUUUAUAUCUUCUAGAGAUUGAAGGUGCAACAUUUUAGCUAAUAUGAUUAGGAGUGUGGGAUCACAAAGGUGAAAGGACUAGACAUAUUGAAUCGAUUGGGUUGGUUAAUCUAGAGUUGUAAAUCAUACAUGUUUGUCUCUUUUAUUCAUGUGAACGCCAGAACCAAGGAGAAGCUUUAUAAGAGUGAUAGUCAAGUACCUUAAGAUGUUACCUUACUUGAAGAGUGAUGGUACAGUAUCACCUUGUGGAAGCUUUCCUUUCUUAGUGGUUGUGCAUCGUGUUUAUGGCACCCUCCAUGGAUCAUCUCUUGUGAGCUAUGUCUUCCUUGUGUAAAUUGUUAAACUUCAUGUGCCUCUCUCUUUGUCUCCAAUGUAAGUUUAUCUCAGGACUUCCCAGGUCGAUAUUGAAAGUUUUCCUACAGGGGUUAGUCCAACAAAAUAUCCAAUAUCUACUAUAGCAUACUAUCGGCUCAAAGAUCAACCUAGACACCAUGUCUAAUUUGAUUUAGGAUGGAAUUUUAACCUAAGCAUCAUGCUUAAUUUAAAAUCCUUUGGAAGUAAGAUCAUCAUUCCUAAACUAAGCAUCAUGCUUAAUUAAGAGAUAAAUGAAACUACUCCAAACCUAGACAUAUACUAAAGCAAAUAAAGGUAGCAUGAGAGCAUUUAUAGAGAUCUACUCAAGUGGAGAUGAAGUAGUGUGAUUAGUAUUUAACAAAUUGAGCAUGUCUCAAAGGUAGGGACAACCAACAUAGCAACAUGGCAAAGGAUGUUUUUAUGUAAAGUAUUCCCCCAAGCUUGAAUUUUGCAAAAUUAAAGUUUGGAUGAAUUUAAUUCAAUGUUGUAUGAUGAUUGGCUAGACAUACCUUGUGCUUGUCAUUCAUCCGAUCUUCUUGCUCCAAUCCUGGAAAGGUUAGUGACAAGAAUACCCGAAGGAAUAUUUUUACAAUUAUCCUUAUAUGCUCAACACACAUGGUAAUGUUGCAAAUAAUUAAAAGCUCAUUUUACAAUCUGAUCAGUGCUUGUUUUAGGACACUAAGCUUGUCCUUGGGAAACCAUCAAUUUAUGUCGGCGAAGUGGUUUCCCCUCCAACGUAGACCUAUAUCAAGAUCAACUCAACAAGAUCUGCAAUAUUUAUUAUAGACAUAUGCAUCGACAACGUCCCUUUUAAAGUUUUUAUAAAUAGAAAGGAUGAGGGGGUUGGAGAUCUCGAAUGUGGUGAUGUUGGAGAGACCAAUGGAUUGUGCAGAUGUUGCAUAUGAGCAUGGAGCAAAUGAAGUGGCUAUGAAAUAAAUUCCAUGCUCAUUAAUGCUAAGAGUGAAAUCCAUGUGGUAUGGUGAAAAUGAUAAGGUGAGUCUGGUUAAAAAGGAAAAGAAAAAGGAUACACGGACGACUUGGUUCGAAACUAGCACAGCUACCAUUCCCCGGCAACGGCGCUAGAAAGCUUGUUGGGUAUUUUAAACGCAAACAGAAAAGUCCGCAAGCGCACGGAUACCGAUGUAGCUUUCACCCAGGAGUAUUCCAGAGUAUCGAUUUUCCACAGAGAACGUGAGUGUACUAAUUAAGAUCCAUGAUCGCCCAGGGAUAACUAUAUAAGUAUUUUUGGUGGGAAGAGAGGAAGUUUCCUGAGAGUUCUCUUGUUGAUCUAAGAAUCAAGAAUUACUUCAAGAUUAUCUAUAUCGGGACAUUAGAGCACUAACCACAGAAAGAGAUGAGAAGGGGGCUAGGAAGGUCUGACUACGGUCCUACAAACACCGAUCCGAACGUGGUGGAAUACGUCGACCGUUAGGGCUGUCACUACCCAAAGGCUACCUCAACAAUCCGCAGGAUUGGGUGCAAUUCCAGGUAAUUGCAAGACUAAACACCACGUCUAAUCUAUUAAUUACUACUCUAGCAUUAUAAAGACUAGAGCACUUGAUGCAAGCGGGAAUCCAAUAAAUAACUUGAAUGUAAAUAAAAGUAAUUAAAGAAAUCAGGAAUUAUGAAUUGAAGAACCUGGAGAACGAUGAAGAACAAACCAGAUGCUGCAAAAGUAUAAUGUUGAGGAAGAUCCGACAGAUCCGGCUCCUCCUCCGCUCUCCUCUUCUCUCUCCCUAUUUUCUAGAUUACAACUAGAACUAACUAGAACUAGAACUAGAGGAACUAGAACUAGAACUAGAUGAACUAGAACUAGAUCUAGAUGAACUAGAACUAGAUCUAGAUGAACAAGAGGUAGAACUAGAAGAACUAGAGGGAUCCUCUCUACUUGGAUGAAGAAUUGAAACCCUAGCUUGGAUUCUGUAGAAGAGGUAUGAUCUCCAGGGGCCAGGCGGUCUGGUUUUAUAGUCCCUUCAAGUGAAUAUGGGCCAUUGGAUCAAACCGACAUUGAUUGAACGGUUAUCCUUGAUCCUUUAGGUCGGUGGAGCAUGAUCCCCGAGUUGUACCCUGAUUGGGCAGAAUAGGUGGGCGGGCGCCCUCAGGACUUGGGCGGGCGCCCUGUCCCUGAGCCCUCUCGGCCUCCGCUUCGGUCCCGUAGCUUCUGGAGUCUUCUAGAUGAUAGAAAAUUGUGCGGCACGUUAAUAUCUCUAUGUAAACCCGACGUGUGGGCCUUUCUUCCGUAUUUCCUGAUAAACCCCUGCAGAAAUAGACAAACACCAAAACUCAUGGAAUUCUGUCAGAUAAAACCCUAAGUCUAGGUGUUAGUUGCAUUUGGAUCCUUUUCCAUGAUUAGUUGAUGGUUAAAUAUGAGCAUUAAGGACCGUCAACAGUGGAUAUAGCACAUUGUCCUCGCCAUAGAUUACAUAUGACUUGGCCCGUCGAGCAAUACGGCGGGCCUCGGAUCGAUCUUCUGGUAGCUCGCAGCGGAUUAGGUAGUUGAGGAACGGCGUGCGCCAAUCAAACGGUCGACUGGGCCACUGUUCCACCUCCAUUACCUCGGCUGCCAUUAGUAGCGCUUCGACAGUGUCGGUUUGCUGGGUAGGAGCGGCUUCGACACCAGCCCCCGAGCCCAAGUCGACGGAUGGCUCGUGUAGAUCUCUUGAGAACGCGUCAGGUGGGAUCGUGCCUCGAGUCGACGCAAUCUUAGUGAGUUCGUCGGCCACCUUGUUGUAGCGUCGGGCGAUGUGGACGAGCUCAAGGCCAUGGAACUUGUCCUUGAGUCGAUGGACCUCCUUGCAGUACGCCUCCAUUUUCGGGUCAUGGCAGCUCGAGGUCUUCAUCACUUGGUCGAUGAUGAGCUGGGAGUCGCCUCGAACGUCGAGGCAUCGGUCUCCUAGCUCGAUGGCGAUCUUCAGACCGUUGACAAGGGCCUCGUACUCCGCGACGUUGUUGGACACAGCAAAAUGUAUCCUGAUGACAUAUCUCAUAUGGACGCCCAAGGGCGAGAUGAAUAGAAGGCCCGCCCUAGCUCCCGUCUUCAUGAGAGACCCAUCGAAAUACAUCGUCCACAGCUCUGACUGAACCUGAGACGGGGGAGCUGGGAGUCUGUCCAUUCCGCGACGAAAUCCACCAAGACUUGUGACUUGAUAGCUUUACGGGGCGCAUAGGUGAGAGUCUCACUCAUGAGCUCGACCGACCACUUGGCGAUUCUUCCCGUGGCCUCCCGACUUUGGAUGAUCUCGCCCAAGGGGAAAGAUGAGACCACCUUGAUAGGGUGGCCGAGGAAGUAGUGCUGCAGCUUGCGUCGGGCGAGGACUACGGCGUAGACUAGCUUCUGGAUUUGUGGGUAACGCGCCUUGGUCUCUGAGAGCACCUCGCUGAUGAAAUAGACCGGUCUCUGGACUGGCAGUGCAUGCCACUCCUCCUGCCUCUCGACUACUACCGCUGCACUGACGACCUGGGUCGUCGAAGCGACUUAUAGAAGCAGAGGUUCUGCGCGUUGAGGCGGGACUAGCACUGGUGCAGAGGUCAGCAUUUUCUUCAAGUUAUCGAGAUUUUCCUCGGCCUCUGGGGUCCAAGAGAAACGCUCGACUUUCUUCAGAAGUCGAUACAGUGGCAACGCCUUUUCUCCCAACCUCUAGAUAAAACGACUCAGCGCCGCUAAUCAUCCCGUAACUCUCUGCACGCCCUUGACGUCUCGGAUCGGCCCCAUUCUCGUGAUGGCCGAGACUUUCUCGGGGUUGGCCUCGAUGCCACGCUGGGAAACGAUGUAACCCAGGAGCAUGCCUCGAGGUACACUGAAAACGCACUUCUCGGGGUUGAGCUUGAUCUGGUUGGCGCGUAAGCAGCUGUAUGCGAUCUCGAGAUCCUAGAUCAGGUCUCCCCAUUGCUUUGACUUGACGACGAUGUCGUCGACAUAGGCCUCGACCGUCGACCCUAUGUACUUGCCAAACACGUGGAGCAUGCAGCGCUGAUAUGUGGCUCCCGCGUUUCGAAGCCCGAACGAUAUAGUUACAUAACAAUACAUUCCAAAAGGUGUGAUGAAAGAUGUCGCGAGCUGGUCGGACUCUUUCAUUUUUAUUUGAUGGUAACCAGAAUAUGCAUCAAGGAAAGAAAGGGUUUCAUAUCCUGCAGUAGAAUCAACAAUUUGAUCGAUACGUGGUAAUGGAAAAGGAACUUUCGGACAUGCUUUAUUUAAACUUGUAUAAUCAACACACAUCCUCAUUUUCCCAUUCUUUUUCUUAACUAGUACAGGGUUUGCUAACCAGUCGGGAUGAUGAACCUCCUUGAUGAAUCCGGCCUUCAAAAGCUUGUGGAUUUCCUCGCCAAUGAUCUUGCUCUUCUCCUCAUCGAAGCGGCGCAAUCGCAGCUUCACUGGCUUGGACCGGCUCGAAUUUCCAAGGAGUGCUCGGCGACUUCCCUCGGUAUGCCUGGCAUGUCCGAGGGACUCCAUGCAAACAUGUCAGCAUUUGCACGGAGAAAGUCGACGAGCACGGCUUCCUAUUUGGGGUCGAGGUCAACGCUGAUCGUCAGCGCCUUGCCGUCGGAGUUGUUGGGGUCGAGCGGGAUCUUCUUGGUUCCUUCCGCCGGCUCGAAGCUGCCCGCGUGGCGCUUGGGCUCCGGAGCCUCAGCGGCUAGGGCCUCGAGCUUCGAGGCGAGCUCGAUGGAACUCUCGAUUGCUUCCCCAUACUCGACGCAUUCGACGUCGCAUUCGUACGCGUGCUCGUAGGAGGAGCUGACGGCGAUGACACCCUUGGGCCCGGGCAUCUUCAGCUUCAGGUACGUGUAAUUGGGAAUUGCCAUGAAUUUGGCGUAGCCCGGGCGCCCGAUGAUGGCGUGGUACGUGCCUCGGAACCCCACCACCUCAAAGGUGAGGGUCUCCUUUCUGAAAUGGGCUACCGUGCCAAAGCAAACCGGUAGGUCGAUUCAACCUACCGGCAACGCCUUCUUCCCUGGUACGACGCCAUGGAAUCCACCGGCGCUUGGUUGGAGCUGCGUCCUGUUGAUGCCGAGGAGGUCGAGGGUCUCGACGUAGAUGAUGUUUAGGCUGCUGCCGCCGUCCAUCAACACCUUUGAGAGCUGGGCGUUGACGAUGAUGGGGUUGACGACGAGCGGGUAGACGCCAAGGGCGAUUACCCUGUCGGGGUGGUCGUCUCGGUCGAAGGUGAUGGGGGUGCUCGACCAGCUGAGGUACUGGGGCACUGCCAUCCUUGCUGCAAAAACCUCACGGCGUUCCUUCUUGCGUUGCCUGGCGGUCAACUGCGUUGAGGGUCAACCAUAGAUCAUGUAGCAGUCAUGGACGACAGGGAAGCCGUCGUCGUCUUUGUCGUCCCCCUUGUCGCCGCUCUUCUCUUUCUUUGGGUCAUCGCGGGCGUCCUUCUUGAACCCUAGACCGUCGAAAUGCUUUUUCAGCAUGCGGCAGUCCUCGAGCUUGUGGUUUGCCCCCCCCUUGUGGUAGGGGCAUGGCUCCUUUAGCAUCUUAUCGAAGAUGGCUCCCUCUAGAGGGCCUCGAGGCCUUUUGCGUUCCAUAGCGGCGACGAGAUCGUUGUCGAGGUCUUCCCGCUGGAAUGGUCGGGAUUUCUUCUUCUUCUUGUUCUUCUUGGGCCCUUGACUAGGGCCCUCAUCAUCAUUAGCAAGCGGCUUGCCUUUCCUUCCUUCACAGCUAAAGAAGGCGCCGACCGCUUCUUCCUCCGCCACGUAGUUUGCCACUACGUCCAUCAGCUCAUCGACGGUCUGGGGGCGAUUCUGGCCAAAUUCCCGUACCAAGUCUCGAUUGGUGCUACCAGAGACAAAGGCCAGGAUGAUGUCGUGGUCGGGGAUGUGCGGUAGCUCGGUGCGUUGCUUCGAGAAGCGUCGAGCGUACUCUCAAAGCGUCUCUCUUGACUUCUGCUUGCACUUGCUGAGGUCCCACGAGUUGCUGGGUCGUAUGUAUGUCCCUUUGAAGUUACCCUCAAACACCCUGACCAAAUCGACCCAAUCGUGGAUCUGUUUAGUCGGGAGCUCCUCGAGCCAUCUGCGGGCGGUGUCGGAGAGGAAGAGCGGCAGCUGUCUAAUGAUGGCUCGAUCGUCCCCUCGAGCGCCUCCUAGCUGACAGGCCAGCCUGAAAUCUGCCAGCCACAGCUCUGGCUUGGUCUCGCCGUUGUACUUUGCAAUGCUGGUCGGGGGUCGGAACGAGCUGGGCAGCGACGUGCUGCGGAUCGGCCUACUAAACACCCGUGGGCCUGGUGGCUCUAGGGCCAUUCGGUCCUCAUCGCUGUCGUACCUCCCGCCGCGAUGGGCGCUGUAACCGCGUUCUUCCGCGUCCCCGUACCGACGGUGACGAUUCUCUUCAAUAUUGCGUCGUGUCGUCGUUGGUUGUCGACGGGGAGGACGAGCGUGGUCUUUUUCCCUCGAGGGGGCGACUGCUGAUGGACUGAUACCUCUUUGUCAUUCUGGGCUGGCUCAUCACGCUUUUCUGUAGCCGCCCCUCGACGUCGGGAGGCCGAGCUCUCCGCUUGCUGAACUGCCGCCACCUGGAGCAGAGUCUGCACCUCGUCUCGGAUGUGUCGUGCUUGGGAGUUUGAGGGCUCGGGCAUGUUACACAGCAGCAUUGUCGCCGCCACGACAUUCUGGCCUGCUCGAGGGAAACGGCUGACAGGCUGCUCAGGCUCUCCGUCUCCAACGAUCUGCUGGUGCACCUCUCGAGCGCGUCUGCGGACACUUCCGCCGGGCGGGUAUGGCAGAUCCUGCUCAAGAUUUUGCUCGAGCAGGACGAGGCGCUCGCGAUCUUCGUCAAGCUUUGUCUUGAGCUCUCGUAGCUGCGCAAGUUGCACGGCUCUGUCUUCUUGUGGAGAUGGGUUAACCUGUCACUCGUUCCCAGGCGUCCUGAGAUCUUCUCUUGCUGCAGGGGCUCGACUGCCCACAACGGCGUCUUGUGUCUCGUCGGUGGUUUCUACCGCCCCGUCGAUAUGGUAGCAUUCCCUAGUAGGGUCGUAGCUGUCGGAUUCCGAGCCGGAGUCCGGUCCGGCGGCGUAGAAACAUCCGCGUCCUUCCUCCAAGCAGACGCUGCCUGAGGGAGGUAAUCGUGUACCGCCCAGGGCCUAGGCGGCGGAGGCCUCGUACAUGCGAGAAGUCCGGCAGCUCGGACAUCCGUUGCUGCGCUCCAGGGUCGCGUGGGAGGACCAUUGGUCUCUCCACAUACGUCUGGGUGUUUGGACAUAUCGCCCUGGCGAGCGACGCCGUGGCAUUGUCCAGUCCGAACGGCAAUGCUCUUCUUGGGGCGAACCAUCCAUGCGGAAGUAGCCUGGCGGUGGGGGAGAGCACGCGGGGCGCGUCCGCUCCUGUCGUCGUGCGAUCCUCAGGGCUCUGAGUCGUCAUACCCGCGGUUUCGGCACGCAGAGUUGUCGGCUCCUGUGCCACCUCCUGCCUGGCACGAGCUGUCGGUCGAGGUGAGGCAGAAGGGCGAUGGCGGCACUGUCCACGCCUCUUCUUGGGUGGGGAGGCAUGGUGGCGAGGACGUCUCGGGGCCCUCAACCGUGUCGGCGCAACGCGGGCUCCUCCCGGUCCUUUGAUCGAGAGCAGGAUCAUAUCAUAGCCGGAGCAGUAGACAUGAACUCGAGGCUCCCAAACCAAAUCACCGUGGAGCGUGGAAUCGGUGAAGUGAGAGUGGCCAUCUGGAAAGGAUGGGAAAUCAGUGAAAAACACGCAGGACCCCUACCUGGCGCGCCAACGAGUAAAUUUGUGUGCGUGCUCCCUUUUCCAGAUGGUGAUGCAAAAAGACACAAAGAUUUAUUCUGGUUUGGGCAAGAGAAGGCCCUACGUCCAGCGGGGGGAGAGUUUGUAUUAUAUUGCACCUAAGUGCUUGUACAGGGGUGAAUACAAGCGAGUAUGAGCUGGGAUGGAGUAUGGAGGCUCUACUAUGUAUGAGUGUUGUCUUGCGUGAUGUCGUAUCUCUUCCGAGACCUCCCCUUUUAUAGUUCCAAGGAGAAGCCUAGGGUACAAGUAUAGGCGUCAGAGUAGGGGUCAAUAGAGGUAUGGCGCGCUGACCUACUCGAGGCCUCCGUACCGGCGUGGUCUCGAGCCGUCCCGUCCUGGUAGCUUGAUGAUGAUUACGCGUGCCCCUGUAUCCUGCUCUGUGCGCCGUCUUGGACUGGUUUCUCUGUUGCACGCCUGUACGUCAUGGCGGCAGAUACGUCGGAGUGGUUGCAGUGUUGUCGUUCGACGCCCAACCCUUCCCCGGGAAGGAAACGUGUCUGGUCCAGGAUCGUACGCCAUGUAGCGCCUUGCUGUCCAGAGCGUUGACCUUGGAUGUCUCGAGGGGGUCUUGAUUAGAUGUUCCGUCCCUGCUUCCUGCGUCCUGACAUGCUCUGGAUUGUUUGGUGGGGAAGGCUGCAAAAAGAAUGACGGGACGGGUGCCUGUUCCCUAUCACGCUUCCCGUUACUGGCGUGUUAGGUGAGAACGCGACAGACACAUUAAAUGCCCUGGCUCCCGUGCCCGCGUCAGGAGGCGGGCGGCGUCCUUGCGCUCGACGCCUCCCGAUUCGCUCGAGCCUGUUUCCGUAUUCGACGGUAGUUGACGCUCGAGCCCUGAUCGAUUCGCUCGACGCCCUUUCCGUCUUCGAGGCCACGGUCGUUGAUGAUCGUACGCGUGACUGGGUAGAGCGUCGAGUUAGGGCCUCGACUUGCGAACGGGCAAUCUCAUUAUGUACAUCAGUUAGGAUACCCCUUACUGAUACCCUCGACAACUCCACUCACCAGACAACUUGCACUGUCCAACCACCACCCAUGAAUCAUUUUUUUGGCGUAAAGACUAAGCAAAGAAGGGGGAGAGAAGUUUCAGCCAUAGAGGGCAUCUGGGUAGGGUGCUCACCCUACUGUAGAGGGCGCCCACCCUGUCCCCUGCUCCUCCUAUAAAAAGCCACUUCCUGCCUCCAUCUUCAUCACACACACAUUCUAGAAAACACUUACACACUUCAGUUCUCGGUUUCCAGAGGAAGUGCUCUUGUAGUGAAGAGAGAAGGAGAGUGGAAGGGAAGGGAAGAGUGGAAUAGAGUUCGGUAGUUUUAGAUAGAAGAGUGAUAGAGCAAGGCUCAUCUAGUAAUUAGUGAUCCCGCUAUCCAAAAGCGGAACUAAAAGUUGCUUAGGGGAAGUGCUGUCGAACUCUUCAAUUAAAAAUUGUCUCGGACGACUAACACCUGGACGACUGACUUAUUGGACGGCUGACCACUAACAUUUAUUUCUCACAUUCUUCCAUGAGUUUUUGUUUAUGUCAAUUUUUCUGUAGGAUGUUGAGGAAGAUGAAGAGCGCAGGCAAGGCCCUCAAGAACAUGGGGAUGAGGAGUUCAUCCCAACUCUCCUCGCACCAGUCGGAGAUGAGCGUCGACUCGACGCCCGAGCCAACUCCAUCGUCUUCGUCAGGCACAAGAGUCAAGGUUCUCCUCAAGACAGGAGACCUUGGGCUGAAGACCCGCGGAGAGAAGGAAGUGUUCCAGCAGCUGAAGAACAAUGAUUUCAUUCACACCCCCACUCUUGAUCCUAUCAUGCUGCAAGAAACAGGUAUGGAUACCGAAUUUGACUUGAUUUUUUAGAUGGUGGGAUGGACAAACUUUCGGGACAUAAUGGAACUAGCGUCUCAUCUUCUCACCAUUAAUUUCUCUACACUUUGCAAUAUUAUGAGGGGGAUAUCGCUUUUUGGAUGUUCAAAAAAGAAAUCAUGUUGUCUUGGAGAGAAUUGAGCGAUCAUCUCGGUUUCUCUUCAAGAUGCAUCCUAGAUAUUGACACCGAUUUGCCUAAUUUUGAGAGGCACUAGUUCUGGAGGGAGAUUUCAAGGGACAAAUACUUCUUUCAGGCCUGAACCAGUGACAUGGAACAUCCUACUCUCCGGAUGCUCCACAAAUGGAUCGGGUACAAUCUUUUUCAUCACGAUGAUAUUAGAAAAGUAAGCGUAGGAGAUUUGCAACUUCUUUAUGCUUGUAUAAAUAAAGUACCUAUUUCACCUGCCACUCUUUUAGUUGCUCAUUGCCUUAGUUUACCGAGUCUUCAGGGACCUAUCGGUUGUACUUCACUCAUCACUCGUCUAGCCUCUAGUCUCAACUUGCUAGAAAACUCGUCAUUGGAAUUCAUUGACGAGUUACGAAUAUAUCAUGCCUAUGACAUAUUUAGACAAGCUCGGAUGCUGAAAAAGGAAGGAAACGUAAUGUAUAUGUUGUACAGUAAUAAAGGCAAGAUUCGGUUACCUAACCCGAACCUUGGCCUCUAUGUCGUUCAAAAUUAUUUGAUUGAGAUUGCAGUGGCACCGGUAAACCAGAGAGCUCCACAGAGCGUGGCAUCCGAAAGGAUGGCCACCCAUCAAGAACGCACCUGGUAUGGAGCUGAUCCUGGGCCAGAAGAAGCAGCGCACCUGCAUUAUUGCGACUACCACCCCCGAGUUCUUCGGGACCCAUGGGUUCAACAUGCUCAACCAAAGGAACCAGCACAGGAGACGUGGCCAGAAGGCCAAGAUCACCGGUGGGCGAACCUGCCUUUCCGUUCGGGAAGGUACUCCACUGAUCCGUUUGGAGCUUCAGGAUCUAGGCCCCAGCCCCAAUUUGAUGCAGGACAUUACUCCGACGCCUCCUAUGUUUUCUCUGGGGACUACUACCAAGAGGUCGGCGCCUUCUUCAACCGCACCGACAACACUCUCCUCGCCAUACAAGAAAGGCAGACGCAACAUGGACGACUCCUAGAACAGCAGCAAAAGUGGAACUAGGACCACGACGCUGCAGCACAAGACCUGAGGCAAGACACCACGUCGAUAAACGACAACUUCACCACCAUGAUGCGGUUCUAGAACAUUGAGUAGGACCGACACAACCACAUCCAGCUUGGGGGAGUUCCUCCCCAUCUACCGAGUAAGUUUUUAUUUGCUUUUCUUAUUUAUUUUUCUGUUCUAUUGUUUCAAAACAAAUGAAUGAAGAGUCUUUUGUGCUAUAUAUGAUCUUAUAGAUGCCUAGAGUAGAUUGUGACUUAGUAGAUAGUAGAUACUUAGAAUCCAUUCUCUAGCUAAUCCAACGUCACCUUGCAUUUAUGUGGAGUAGUCUAUUUCUAAUCACUGUGUUAAUUACACAUGAGCUUAUAUUUUAUCUUUAUUAUUAUGGCUUACCCCCUGCCAAAGCAUGUGACGAGUUUCUCAUUAGUAAUCAUGUUCUUGCAAGUUUAUCUGUAGUCUAUGCCUUGAUAGAUUUUACUCCUGUUUUCACUUUCGCUAUUUUCUUAAGCAAAAUUAUAAAUAACGAUACCCGAAAUACUUUCCUAGUGAAAUGCUACAAUGAGGUAUUUUAUCUGUGCGCUUGUGGAUAGAAUAGAUUAUUUUCUAGAGAGCCUUCAUAUUCAUAAAUACCUUUGUACACUCUAGUGCCAUGCUGGGGAUGACAACCUAGUAUUCAAAUGGUGUUAGCAAGUGUCAACAUAUAUCAUUUUCAAUUUAUUUUCAAAGCGAAUGAUGAGGACAUUGCCACGCUGGACACGUCAACACCAUCGUCUUUCUCAAGAUGCAAUUGAUCUCCAACUCAGCUACCAUGUCACUGUCGGAUUCAACAGACAUGUCGUCAGUUUUUCGAUCAUAAAUUCUUCAUACGACAUCGAAACGGUGUGAUCUUGUAUUUGUUAGAAAGGAGACGAUGACGCCAUCGUUUUGGAUCUGGUCCCAGUUCCAGAUAAUACGUGGACUAAUCUGUAUGACCAUGGCAUGGUGCUGUGCCACCUAUUUUGGGCCAACUUGGCCAUGUAUCAAGUUCGGGCCUUAAGCCCAAGUAGUGGGCGCCUCCCCCUGGUCGCCUCCAACCCUAGGAUGUCUCUCUUUUAUAUACCACGCAGCCGCCACUAUUUAGAAUUGGGUUUUGAUUAGAUUUUAGUUUUUCCAUCAAAAAACUGAAUCGUUCAUUAUAACUGUGGUGACAAAUCCUUUUACAGUGAGCCAAGGCCCAGAUUCUUGAUUUGCUCCACCGUGUCGAUUAGUCCUUUGGAACCAAGUUCUUGAACCCUCUUUGAAUAUUCACGUCAUUCAUAUUUCCAGUUUUAGUUUGCAUGUUUAUAUCUUCUUGCUUGUGUUCUUCGAUUCGCUUACAGGAUCAACCUUCUUGGCGAGGUCAAUAAAGUUGUGCUUGGUUGAUAACCAACAGAGCUGUGGUGUAAUAGUUACAGGGUUCAAAUCGUGCUGAAUUGAAGCCGGAUCGCCAACAUCGAGUUCUCCAUAAAUUGAAUUUAUCAAUUACCUCUUGAAAAAUCGGGCCUAGUCCUUAUCAUCAAAUUUGCCCCUUCACUGUCUUUAGAUCCAUUGGACCCCAAUUGACAAUAUAGUUUAAACACUCAGCAGAUGGGAAAUUAGUGACAAAGGUGUUGUUGCCCUUUACCUCAAUUACCCACUUAUUCAUGGCAGGCAGUAUUUUUUUAGGUUCCACUGGCAAUUUCUCGGCAGUAAGAGAGCCCUCAAAACACGGACCGUAGCUGUUUUGUCAUCUGAAUGAAACUUUGGGCUUUCAACACCUGGUAUGAAAUAAAACCCAACAACAUAGCCACAGGGAAUAUCAGUAGACUGUAAACUCUUUAAAUUUGUAAUUAGUUUUUGUUUUUGACUAUAUUUAUUGAUCUAUGCAUGUGCCACUAGACAUGUAGCUGGUAACCGUGUUUGCAUUGUAAGUGUCACUCGUACUAUCUUGUGAUAUUAUUCAUAAGUUGCAUCAAUUCUCAACAUCUAGCAUACAAGUGCUCCUUGCAAAAUGAAUUUUGAACAACAAGAGAUGCGGUACGGUUCAGAUUCGGACAGGUCUGCCAGUAAAAGGGUUGCGUAUCUGAGCCCGAUGAAGAUAUGCGAGGAGCAGCACACAUUCAGAAUCGGAGACAAUCAUGACUCCUUACAAGGUUUGGAUCUCGCUGAGCGUAUGAAGGUAAUAGAUGAAAAGCGACUAAUUAUGAAUGUAAGUACGACCUCUAUAUAGCCUUGGCACUGCUCAAGUAUCAAGACCGAGAUUAUAUUGUGGCCCCAUACAACUUUGGGUAAGUGUCAGUUUGUAUGCAUCGUCGUAUUAGUAAUUUCAAUGGGCACUUGCAUCAUAAAUUCGAUUCCCUCACGGACCACCUCCUCAUUAAUUAUAGUCUAGGACGUGUGCUAGUCCUAGACUCUGCAGACUAUGAUUCUUCAAGUUAUGCAAAAUUCAUUACACACUUGGAACGGUAAGUUGAGUAAAUUAAAUAUUCAUACAUACUUUUAUAAUAGUUUUAGAAUAACUUGAGGAUUGUGUAUUCUAUACUAUAGGGGCCUAUAGGUAUUAUAAGAUCAAAGGUGGAAGGUGUAAUUCAUCAGAACUGGGGCAGCCAUUAAGCCGAUACGUACCAAAAUAUCACAAGCUGUCUUUGUUUUUUAUAAAUAUAAUAUGCAUAGGAUGAUGUUGCAACUAAUAAAUAUCCAUUUUUUCGUCAUACAUCAGCGCCAUAAGCAACUAGUCGGAUCGGUCUACUGUGGAUUCUACGUCUGCGAGUUUAUGAGAGAGACCGGAAGAUAUGCAACUAAGGUAAUGCUCUAAUAGUCAUUUAUAUAGUUGUGUCAUUGUUUGUUGCUAAUACGCAUGUGUUAUGAACUAUAAAGAUAUGAUGUUUCUAACUUCCUCCGCAGCAACAUGAGUUGGAAAAGGCGAAGAGCGUGACUCAAGUUGUUUUAUACAACAUAGUUGAUGACCUCUGUACUUUCCUCUUCAGAGAAGCCAUUCCCACCGAAGGGAAAUAUCACGACCCGACCAGCACCCUAGCAAAGCUUGAGCUUAGAGCGCUAAGAGAUAUCAGUAGGCUAAAACUAUCUCGAUCAGGUUAUUAGAGCAGAGGUUUCAGAUGUGAAACCUUAUAUGUCUGUAAACAAAAAACUUGAUGUGUGAUGUUUGUAAUUAAUGUAAUUUUAUGUACAAAAUAAUGGUAUACAUAAAAAUGUUGCAUGUUGCAUUGGUUGACAUGAUCCUCUGGACUUACAUAGUUUCAAUAUUAUGUGUGUAUAUAUAUAUAUAUAUUAUAUUAAAAAUAUGGUUUGCAGGGAAAUUUUGAAAAUCAGGUUAAAUUUGAAAAUCUUAUCACAGGCGGUUUGUUUAUGUGAACCACCUGUAGAAACUUAUUUCUAUAGGCGGAUCCAUUAUGUGAACCGCCUGUAGAAAUAAGUUUCUACAGGCUGUUCGAUUAUAUGAACCGCCUGUAGAAAUGAAUUUCUAUAGACAGUUCUCAGUUACCCGCCUGUGGAAAUGUUUAUUUCCAUGUGCCAACAGCACUAGCGGUUCGUCAAUACGCCUAUGCAAAGGGGUUGCGAACCGCCUUUAUAGUACCUCUGUGUACUAGUGGUUUUUGGUUUUUGAGGUGAAUUAAACAAGGCCUAUCCAAACGUCACUUAGGCCUUGUUUAGUUCCAAAUUUUUUUGCAAAAUUUUUCAGAUUUCCCGUCACAUCGAAUCUUUAGACACAUGCAUGAAGUAUUAAAUAUAGACAAAAAUAAAAACUAAUUGCACAGUUUGGUCGGAAUUGACGAGAUUAAUCUUUUAAGCUUAAUUAAUCUAUGGUAGUAUCGAUUUCCCAAAAAUUUUUGGAACUAAACAAGGCCUUAGCCUUACCAUGGCUCGCCCAUGGUCUACACUGUGGUAACUUGGAAUGCGAGGGCCAAGCAAAGCGAUGUGUCCGCGAGCGGGCGAGGGUGCUAUACUACGGUGUCUGGGCAUUGGCGUAGGCGCACACUAUGUAGGUGGUGGUCUAGGUGCUGGCGCUUUGGCGGCGAGCGCAGCCAUCAUGCAAGAGCAGUGUACUGGCCGACGCGAGCAGGAGCGGUGGCCCACGGGCAGAGCACACGCAUGCCAGAAACACUGGUGGUUAUGUUUGCCUUGUUUAGUUUUGAAAAGAUUUUGAAUUUUGAUACUGUAGUAUUUUAUUUUUGUUUAUAGCAAAUAUUUUCCAAUUAUAAACUAACUAAGCUCAAAAGAUUUGUCUCGUAAAUUACAGAUAAACUGUACAAUUAGUUUUUGUUUUCUUCUUUAUUUAGUGCUUCAUGUAUGUGCGACAAUAAUUGAUUUGACGGGGAAUCUUGAAAAGUUUUUGAAUUUUUAGGUGAACUAAAUAAGGCCCUAGUACUUUUGUACAUUUUCAUUGAUUUGAGCAAUCCAAAGGUGAUAUACUGUACCUUGCCAGACAAAAUAAAAACUUGCACACAUAUACGCUAUAUAAUAUGUUUUAUGGCAAAUACGAAGACACACUAUUUUUUCCUAGAAAAAUGGAGUAAGCAAAGCAGGCGUGUUCCUGCUAAAUUAAGGUGAUGCAUACACGGAUAGAUCAUUGUAUAUUUUGGAGGUCUACGUCCCUGAGCAUCUAGCGAAGGAACAGACCUGGAACAAAUGUACUAGUGCUGGCCUCAGUGAAAACCACGGAAAAAUCCGUUGACCAGGUCGGCCACAGGAUGACGGCGAAACGGUACACGUGGCCGAUGCUGCGGCCGGGGCCGGCGCCUCUGCAGGAACCACGGAAGGUGUGGCUGUGGCUGCUGCUGCUGCUGCUCCUCCUCCUCCUGUGGGGGCUGCUGCUCCUCCUGUUGUGGCUGCUGCUGCUCGAUAGCCUUCUCCUGCUCGUUCACCAGGCGGCACUGCUUCCUUACCUGGCCCUUGCCCUCGCCGAUGAGCACGUCAAGCAUUCCGACCUUCUGCAUCGCCUGGGCGAACUUCUGCUGCCACAGUGCUUCGUUCCGGGCGAAGGCCUCAACCAUCGCCUUUGUCUGUGGGUCCUCGAUGAGAGCGUUGUCAGAGGUGAGCAGGCCGCGCCGGGCGAGCAGCUCGGAGUAGUAGGCGACGUCGAGCUUCUCUCCUGUUUGCGCAUCGAACUUCACCUUGGGCGCUUGCUCGGGGUCGUCGUCGGGCUUCCGCGGCGGGCACCUCUGGCGUAGCCACUUGGCAUAGUUCGGGUCCAGCGUUGGGUCGAUGUCGGCGUUUUUGGAGAAGUUGUAGAUGCGGUUGGCGAACAUAAAGCAAUGUGCGCCCCCGAUGGAGUGCGCGCCGGAGAGCAAGACAAGAUCCUCCUGGGAGAGGCCUCGCUGGUUGAAGAGCUCGGUGAGGCGCGGGACGUGAUGGCCCGGCACAGGGAAGUUGCCCGGGAGGUCGUCCAUGUUUGAGCGCAUGCCGUCUCGGCGUCCUGCCACGACGUCGUAUCUUGGGAGGCCCGCGGCCACGGCGGCGUCCCGCGCCGCGAAGGCGAGGAUAUCUGCGCAUGAGACCGUGCCGGGGCACAUGCCCUCUAGAGUGGACUUGGCGAGGUCGAUGGUUCUAAGGCCGACGAGGGUGAAGCCGUUGGCAGACGACUCCUUCUCUGGGACAUCGCCAGCGGGCGACACGUCCAGGAGAAUAGAAGCGUCGCAACCCUGAUAGAUGCACAGAACCGGCCGGCCGGCGGCACAGGCAUGUCAUCAGACAACGACGAUAUGUUGUGCAUGCAUGCAGCAUAAGUGUGAGUAAAGGUUGAGUGUUAAUUAGGGAAGUUACCGUGAUGAAACAGUCGUGGAAGAAGAGGCGAAUGAGGCCUGGGGAGAUGCCGCGGUCCAUAGCGAUUUCGUUGUUGACGAUAUCGCUGAUGACGCUCUCGGCCACCGGGCACGUCUUGCCAUAGAACCCCACCCGCAGGCCGUUGACGAUCAACGCAUCGACGGCACACAGCUGGGUCGCCGACGCCAACAAGCCAAAAAGGAACAGCAACGUGUGCUGCGACAUGUCUCCAAAGGUCGGGAUCCCGCCUCCGACAAUGAGUUAACUGCGUGGUUAUUAGCCCGCAUAACGUUGUGGGAGAGGAAAGGCAAGCUUAAACGACAAGCUUUGUUGCAGGGAAGAGCGACCAUGGCCUCACAUUAUUUAGCCUCCACUUUUGUAGAGACCGUGCUAAUAAUAGGCAUCAAAUAAGGCCAAAUUUGCAUCUAAUUAAUAUGAUAGCCCUCUCCCUAUAUUAUGAUACAGUUAGUUGUACAUCCCUUGCCUUUUGGUAGUACACUCUCUCCCCCUAAGAUUAACAAGUUUAAGACAAUUUAGCACAUGCUGGCGUCACCAGCGGCACUAGCUUGCGCGCCGCGCUCUACGACGUGCUGGCCCUGUGCUCCGCUUUGCCCUGCGUGCGGGCUCUGGCUUCCAGCCUUUGCCGGCAGCGGCGAGCAGUUGCCAAAGUGCCAACGAUAGUUCCACUCGCCUGUCAGCCCAUGCCCGUACUCGUGUGCCCGCGCGUCUGCGCCCCGCUCGUCGGCCACGCGUCCACACCUACCUCACCCUUACACUACUAAAGUCAGGUACAGCAGAGGCGGCUAAAUAAGCUCUGUAAGGGCGGCUGGCCCAGCCGCCCUUAUGCAAACGCUCUUACAGUGAAAUUCACUGUAAGGGCGGUUCAACACCAGCCGCCCUAACAGUGGCCCACUGUAAGGGCGGUUGGAAACAACAACCGCCCUUAAUACUAACCACUGUAAGAGCGGCUGGUGCUUCCAGCCGCCCUUAUAGUGAGCAUUAGUAAGGGCGGCUUGUGUCUCAGCCACCUUUAUUGUCUGCAUUUGCAAGGGCGGCUCAAUCUAGGACCGCCCCUACAGUUAUUUUUCAGAAAAAAAAUUAAAAUUACAAUAAUCGAGUCGACAGCACAGCACAGCACCACAUACAUAUAUACAUAUAUAAUCAGAUUCUCAACAUCACAGAUUCACAACAUAAAUAUCCAUACAUAUACACAGCACCACAUUUAUAGUCCAACACAUUUCAAGUCCAAAAUGUUUUCAAGUCCAUUACAAAUCCAUCCAAAAGAGUCUGAAAUUUUUCAAGUACUAAUACAAAUCAAUCACAGUCCAUUCCAACAAGUUCACAUGUAAUCAACGACCUAGACAUAGCCUAUCCCACUGACGGAGGUGCUGGUAAAGAGGAUUGCUACCUAAGUCGGACUGUGGGUUAUGGUAAUCACCUUUGUAAUAAACAACAUGGUCCAUUAUAAAGUUGCAAAGGUCACCGACAAUCUCUAAGAGGACAUCAUCCCUGUAGACAUCCCUUUUUAGUUCUUUUUCUUCUUUCCACUACAAGCUCGUAAAAGAUAAGUUUAGGUCUAGUGUAAAGAAGAGAUUGCAAAGCUAAGUGAGAAAUACUAUGUUUUCAUACUACAACCCACUAAGAGAUUCAAACUUACCAAUUCAGGGUGUCUCCUGUAGCCUUUUGUGUUACUGAUGAAAGCACAUACAUAGUAUCCACAAUGCAGACUCCCUGGCCUUUGCUUGGGAAACUUUGUUUUAAUUUGCAAAUGAAGAUGUGUCAAGUAUAAGUACUGAAAAAAUUAGUAAUUUUAUGUCAAACUAAGUCGCACUUACCAAACAUAGAGAUUUGAAACGCAAGUGGCUCCCCAGACCUGGAUCAUGCCUUCCUUUGUGAUUCUUGACAUAGGCCCUUAAUGCCCUGUUUGAAUGAGAACCGAUGUGACUUAUAGUAUGCAGAAGUCGAUAUUAAAGUGAAUCAUAUAAUGUUACUAGGAUUACAAAUUUGCUUACGUAAUGAGAAUUGACAUGAAGUCUUUAUAUGUGUGAGGGUCAAAAUCUGCAGAAUCACAAUUCCAUGCCAUGUUCAUCCCGACAUCGACACCUAUGACUAUCCAGUAAUUGCUACAACAAUUUUAAAUAAACACAUAAGUACCUUUGUAUUAAAAUAAGAUAAACCGAACAAUCGUUAAGUAUACAAUUAAUCGAACUUACUUGAAGUGGUAUGGAAUCCAUAUUGUUUCGAAGUGUUGGAGAUUCUUUAAACAUACGGCAAUCCACGCCGCAACCUUAAGAGACUCUUCUCUUAUUUUGGCCGCACGGAUCUUUUCUUUCUUCGCUAACGUCCCUCCAGCAGCUAGCUGUGGCGCAUCCAAUUCCCAUCUCGAUGGGUAAUUAAAAUUUAUUUGUGCUAUAGGCAUAGGGUCUACAUACCUGGCUUUCGUUGAGCGUGUAGAUUUCAUAAAGUUUGCUUGCAUUCUAAAAAUCACGACGUAAGUUAGUUUUAGCAAAAUCCAACUAGGUUACUUUCAGAUCAUAUCAAGAGGAAGAGGACUUACAGGCACCAACUGCGAAUUAGAUUCAUCGACAUUGAACUAAGGUGAAAGCAUGAUUGGAUGUCGCUGAAGUCAAAAGCAAUACCCGAAGCAGGGCCUCCAAAUGUGCGAGCAGGUAUUACUGCUGCCAACACAUUCAGUUCUGUACGUGAAACAUGCAAGUAGUACCAAUCAUGGAACCUUCUCAUUCCAUAUGGCAUCUUACACAAGAUCCGGUUUGGUAGGAAACGUUUGCCUUUUACAUAUUCUUUCGGGCAAUCCUUUGACCACUUGAUGGUUUCAACAUCUGGAUACUUUGUUAUCGUUGUGUAGUCUAAGGUGUCAGUGGGCAUCCUGUAGGCAAAUUUGUUCGGGCCUUGGUUCUCAGGCUUGAACUGGUCAUGAGCAUACCACUUGUACAUACCCAAGACGUUCAUAUCCACAAAAUAUUUUGACCCUGUCGACCUUAUCAUGAUGGGGAUCUUUUCACGAGGUUCACAUACUAGAGGGAGUAAUUCUUCAUGUGUCGGCGGUGCUUGUUGAAAAGUCUGUGCCAUCUCAUCAUGGCCUUGCUCGGGGACCCUGAAGGUUGUGGCUUAGGAGGCACAUGUGGUGUCUCGUCAUGCUCUGACUUGGCACGAGCUGUAGAAGGUUUUGGGCUAUGAGGCACAUGUGGUGUCUCGUCACGCUUUGGCUCGGCACGAGCUGUAGAAGGUUGCGGGCUCUGAGGCACAUGUGGCGUCUCAUGCUCUGGCUCCGCACGAGCUACAGAAGGUUCACCUAUUUGAGGCUCAUCUGGCGUCUCAUCAUGCCCUGGCUCUUCCCCUUGCUCGCCAGCGGUUGGAGAAGCCGGUACCCUCUCAUGCAUCAAGUGGUCCUCAUGAGACGGUGAAUACACCUCUCCAUCCUCAAGGUGGACUCUCUCCAGGUGUACAUCACUUGGAGUUGGCGAGGAAACAUUCAACACAAUAUCCUUUUUGUACCAGAGGAUGAACUGUUUCAUGAGUAGUCCAAGCUCACGAAUCCCCUCGCUAGUUGGGUGUUCAAUCUUAUGCUUCGCAUACUCGGGAUUCAUGGUAUGCACCUCAACCUUACUAUAGUCGGCCGGGACUGGUUUAUGGUGCUAGAUGUCGCCUGGAAUUGGAGGAUGUGCCAGACUCGUUGCCACCUCAGCCAUCUCCUGUCCCCUACCGAUGGGAAUCAACAGGAUGCAACGAGUUGGCACCCGUAUGUGAUCGACUGAGGCGGAGGUUGCAUUGGAACCUUGGCUGCUUUGAACAUUUGGAGGGCUACCAACUAGAACCAAAUCCCUAGGCGGCUCCAUUUGUGACCGUCGCUCAGUAGACAGUCCUUGCUCCUGCAAGACUCUCCUCUCGGUUUCUACAAUGUUUCUUGUACAUCUCCACAUCCUCUCGAAAUCCUUCCUUCUAGGUCUUAUGUUUCCCUAACCCCCUGACACGGCCUGGGUGCUCGGGGUUUCCUAAGCCAAGGCUAAGCUCGUCCUUCUCUCUAGAAGGAGUGAAUGAGCCCUUCUCGAUGUCUUCAGAAUAUUUCAUUAUCCUUGACACUGCCUCCUCGGUCUCUAGCUUGGCAAAUUUCAGACUGCUGCCUGAUUCUUCAAGAUUCCUUGCAAAGACCCAACGCUUGGUGUGUGGCUUCAAUUUCAUUACUUUUGUAUUCCCAGCAGCUACGGCCUCCUCUUCCAUCUUUCUAAACAUAUCUUCCUUGCCCUCGUAGCCACCGGGGCCUAGACAAGGGUGGUGGAUGUUCUUCUUCGCCUGCAAGCUAUUCUUUUCACUUAAGGCCAAAGAUUCUGGUGCAGUCUUCUCAGCCACGAGCAACGCCCAGAUAGUAGGAGUGAUGUGUCCAUACUUAUGGUACGGAGUUAACCCCUUUUUGAUGUACUCGGUGUUCAGCUCAUUCCUCCAACGUCGGAAGGAUUCUCCCAUCAUCUUCAUAGCACGUCGUCUUACAAGGGGUAGCUUCUCUGCCGGAAUCCUAAAAUUAAAAUUGACCAACAGACAAUUUUUCCAUAGGUCAUCCUUUAUGUCCUCUGGAUAGUCGCGCUAAUUACGGAUUGAUGGGUUCAACUUGUCUCUGACUAGGGCCCCAAUUGCAUUGCGGAAUUUUGAUUGGAACUCCUUUGGCUUAAGGAUCUGCCCUUCUUCCCCAACCUCAUCAAUCACAUAAACCAUUUUUGCAUUUGGAUAGUGGUUUGGCUUUCUGACCCCUCCUUUCCUUUUCACUUUGGUAGUCGAGGCCGAGGCUGUGCCUUCAGGUUGCGGAGCAGAGGCCACAAUGGUAGUCUCUGUGCCUGUUGCCUCUGCCCUCCUUUCCCUUGCCCCGUCAUGUCCAGCGAAACGUGCCGGAUGCCGACGUGGUCUUUUUGGAGGUUUAGGAGGGACCUGUAUAAACAACAGGUCAAAGUGUUAGUAGAGGUAACACAGCCAUAUUGUUACCAAAAUUUAUGAUUUACUAAGUGACCUUCAUAUCCCUACCUCCUCGUUUGGGUCAAAGUCCUUGUCCAACUCAUCCGUCGUUGGCUUCCGUCUAGGUUCACAUGGGUGUGGAUCCUCAGGACUUUCAUAUCCCGAGGUUGAGUCAUCGUCCUUGCUAGAUCCUUCAUCAGUCUCUCCUCUUCCCGCUUCUCCCCCUUGCUCCUCGCCAGACUCCUCUUGAGUAAGCAUAAAUGCUACACCAUUGCCCACUUCUUCAUCAAACUGUUUCUGAGAAAACUGAUCAUGUAUUUCUUGCUCUCUAGGGGUAGGGUGCUCUUCAUGUUCGUUGGAUCGGGCUGCAUUGCUUGUUGUCCGUGUCAUUUCAUGAUUUGUUCUAACAGAUGAAAGGAAUAAAGUGUGCUUUAGUAGUAGUAGUAGUAGUAGUAGCAGCAGCAGCAGCAGUAGCAGCAGUAGCGCUUUAGUAGUAGUAGUAGCAGCAGUGCUUUAGUAGUAGUAGUAGUAGGUUGAAGAGAGGAGAAGAGAGACCAGCAGUGCUUUAGUAGUAGUAGUAGUAGGUUGAAGAGAGGAGAAGAGAGAGCAGCAGUGCUUUAGUAGUAGCAGCAGUGCUUUAGUAGUAGUAGCAGCAGCAGUGCUAUAGUAGUAGUAGUAGCAGCAGCAGCAGUAGUAGUAGUAGGAUUAUAGUAAGCCACAAAUUAAAAUGACAGUAAGCCCCAACUGUAGUGUAGUACUAGUAGAGUACUAGAGUAGAGCAGCAGCUAGUAGAUAGGAGAGAGAACAGACAAAGGAGACAAAUUAGUAAUCGGUAGUAGUAGUAAAAGAAGAAGAAACUCAUGUGCCUUCAAAUUAGCGGGUUGCUGCUUUAUAGAGCCAUCCGCUGCUCUGUGGUGAUCAUAGAUCAUAGACUUAUAUGACAGUCAGUAAUAGGUUAAGAGAAAACCCAUUUGCACUACAAGACCGAAAACCUCUGGGGGAGGCUAGUACCCAAUGGCACUCCAUUCGAGAUGAGUUUCCCCAGAAGCUUUCGGUCUAGGAGAAGCUAUGGGUAUUUGACUGUCAUGUUGUCUCACUACACCUUUUGUAUCAUCGAGCAAGAAAUUUUGAAAAAAAGUAGUACAAGUAGUAAACGCCUCAGUACCAUGUCAAUCAUCAUUUGAUCAUGAACUUGGAGCAUAAAAGCAUCGUAAUAGAGAAGAUGAGGUCAUAUAGGGGCCGCUGGUAACGAUGCCAAGUUCCUCACAAGUUCUUGAUCAUCAGCUCAUAUUCCAUAUAAUGAAUGGACUUAGACAAUCUCAUCAUCGGCAAAACAAAGGAGAGAAUAAAAAUAGAAGAGGAGAGUAGUAGUAGUAUAGAGGAGCACAGUUUAUAAAACUGUCAUAGAGAGGGUAGUAGUAAAGUUGGGCACAACAACAGUAGUAGUAGGAUUACAGUAAGCCCCAACAGUAGUGUAGUACUAGUAGAGUACUUGAGUAGAGCAGCAGCUACCACUAGUAGUAGACUAGUGCAGUAGUGUUGGAGAGAGGAUGAGAGUAGAAAAUAGAAGAGAGAUAGAAGGAGCAGAGAGGAAGGAGAGGUGAGGAGAGGGAAAGGUUUAAAAAAGGCCUCAGAAACAUGUCUAGCAUCAUUUGAUCAAGAACUUGGAGCAUCAAGGCAUCAAAAACAGAGAAGAAGGCACUAUAGAGGCGGCUAGUAAUGACGCCAAGUUACUCAUAAGUUUUGGAUCAUCAGCUCAUAUUCUAAAAUAAUGUAUUGAAUUAGACAAUUUCAUCAUCGGCAAAACAAUAGUAGAGGAGAGAGAGUAUAGUAGUAGUACAGAGGAGCACAGUUAAAAAAAUGUCAUCAAUUCAAAAUUAUGCCAGUAAGCCACCACAAAUAGUUGUAGAGAGCAGUGGCAUAUAAGCAGCCUGCUAUAUAAACAACAGUAAUUAUGCCUCAGUAUAUAAAACUGUCAUGAUGUAUUAUUAGUAGAGAGUAGUAGUACAGUUGCAGUAGAAAAGCAGUAGUAGUAGGAUUGGACAGUAAGCCACCACAAAUCAACACAAUUGGACAGUAAUGAUGCAUGCUGCAUUCACGGUUCUAAACUCGAGCAAACACAAACACUACUAAUUCUAAACUAAAAGCAUUGCAUUAAGUAGCUAAAAAAAUUCAGUGUUAAUGAUGCAUCAAAUCUCUACUACUAUCCAGAUCAUCAAAUCACAAUCUAUCAACAAUACACACUAAUAAAAACCCUAACACUAUCCAGAUCAUCAAAUCUCUCAGAUAGAAAUUAGACAGAACGAAUAGAUAGCUAUUAGCAAUUAACAUUAACCGCAGAUGCUUUCAACCAAAUCACAGAUUAUACACCAUUCUCAAAACAUAUGUAAUUUAUGAAUGCUUUACACACUAAACACUGAAUCUAUGAUAUACAAAACUGAUGUGGUAUGACACAGAAAUGAUAUUAGCAGAUAUCAAAUUCAUAGGUAUAGUAUUGGAUAAAUAUAAAACACAAUGUAGCUAAGAACUGAUGGAAUACAAUUUUGCAUGUCUCAAAUAUCACAAAUCCUACUGUUAAAGCACAAACAUUCAGUGUAUUCAGGAAAUUUGUGUGCAAUGGACAGAUAAUUACUAGACAGAUCCUACUAUUACACAUGCACACAAACAAAACCAUUUUCACAAGCACAUAAUAAGGUACAAAUAAAUAUAGAUAUAGAUAUACACUUGAAAAUGUUGAACGCAGCAGCAAUCCAAGACAUCAUGUCCAAAAGAUACUAAGAGUGAGGGAUGAGUAUUAGCAAACAAGACAUGUGGGUAUCAGAAAUUGUAAGAGAACCGCCCAAUUUACAAGAGAUCAACUACGAAAAACUCCCACCAAAGCAGUUGCUUUACCGUAAUCGAACUCUCAUAAACCCGGUAGUCCGUGAGAUCACGAGGGAUUUCAAACCAACCAACAUACCAGCCAAGAUCGUAGUGAUUCAACAUAACAAGUCACAUGUUACAUCCAUUUCACAAAUAGUUUGACAUACAUCUGAGUUCAAUAUAGUUAUUACAACUUAAGUUGAAAAGUAGCGGAAGCAAAGUAAUUUGAAACUAAUAUUGCCUUCAUUCCAAAUACAUGCCAGUAUCCAGGUCAAUUCCAACAAAAGCAGUAUAGAUGAGGUAACUAAGAAGGAUCAUGCCCAUGAUCUUACUCCUCUAGUAUGGUAGGAGUCAUCCAACUCUUGCAGUAGCCAUGAUACAUCACAACCUGCAACAUGUGGGAAUAAACCCUGAGUACAGGAAGGUACUCAGCUAGACUUACCCGUCAUAAACCAGAAAUAAUAUGACACCAAGGAGUAUGCAAGGCUUUAUUGGUGGAGCUAGCUUGACAAAACUUUUUGCAUAAAAAGCUUAAGUUGCGACUAAGUAACCUUUCAGGUAUUUAGCUCAAGUUAAUAAUCAUUAACCUGUCAUCUAGAUUAGCACCUGUACUAAAGCAUUCACUUGAUUAAGAUACAACCAUAGUACCCAUAUUUGAUGUGGCAUUUCCAACAUCAUCAUCAUACCAUAACCAUCCAAGUGCUCCAUAAACAUUACUACGAGGACGUGGCUCAAGUCAAGUGCUCACUAUCCAGGAGCGAUGGCGAUUCGAAUCGAUUUCUGACCAGCUGGCGAGUUAUUCCCUACACAAACCACACUCACUAAUCAAGUGAGCUACAGGUCACCAUAUUGCACUAUCCAGGACCAAUUCGCGGGUUCGGCAGGCACCACCAGUACCCGAGGACCGUUCUGGCGACCGAGGUAUCCAAGGUAUACCAAGGUUGCGCGCCGCGCCCUCGUCGUUCUCCUCAACCAUCACCAAUACAGCGCAUGGCGGCUCGACUCCCGGCCCGGAUAGUGUUCAGGCUUCGCGGUCGGAACGACUUAUCCUUCCAGCUAAGGUGGGGCAUGCGUUCAACAUGACAAGAGGGCCGUCAACGAUCGGUCCUUAAUCGACACAGGCGGGGAUAGAUAGGCACCCAAGACCUCCAUGUCUUGUUACUUCUCUAUCAUCGUCCCGCCGGCCUCCAAUUAUUCAUCCUCAUCACUUGAUCAUUUCCAUGAUAGCAUAUAUAGCCGACCUUUUCAGGUAUCCACCUAUCUCGCUCAGGUGACAGGACAUCACCUGGCUUCUACCGAUCUAAGCAUAGCUAAGCAUUUAGAUUCGAUCCUGAAUCUACAUAGGGUCAUAGGUAUAUUUACUGGACAAGGAGUGAUAUAUACAGCAAGGGUUUCACCCAACUCCUAUACUUAAUGCAACAAUACAUAUAUAACAUAUAUUCUCAAUUGCAUUCAAAAGUAGUGGGAGACUUAUAAUGCUCCGGGGCUUGCCUGGGAUCAACACUGAGUCAGUUCAGUUAGGUUCUCCAUCUUGAUGACAUCUUAGGUCGCAACACUUGCUUAGUCCUUCCACCUUGGGAUGGGUCCACCCAACACCGUCUUCGAGUUUGUUCCCACACCAAGACCUUCACGUGAUACAUCUAUCGCACCUAGAUGAGAUGCAAGAUGCAAGUGCAUGAAUAUGCGGAAUAGUGACACAACAUGCAUUACAUAAAAGUAUGCAGGACACAUGCCUCUAAGUUAUUUAACUAACAUCACAAAACCAAAUAUUUAGAAAACAUAUUAAUCACAACAUAAGUUUAACAAGUUUACAAGUGUAUUACUUAAUCACCGCUAAAGACAUGUAUCAUAGUUAGCACACAAAGUAAAGCAAUCAAGCAUUCAUGUAUUUCAGCAAUUCUGGACAUACAUGCAAUAACUCAGUAAAUAAAUCAUAACUGAAGUUACACAACUCCAAAAACUAUGCAAUAGGACAUUCUGGAAAGAUUAUCAAAUUUUCUACAAUUCAUCUUUAAUCAUAUUAGCAUGAUUAACAAGUUAACCAAGUCAAACAUGCAUGACCAUAUAAUCUGGUCCAGGUAUUUCCAGAGAACAAGCAUUUGAAAGGAUGAAAUUCAUACUACUGUAACUCACAAACCACUUAGCAAAAUGAUAUGAAACUUUACCACAAUAUAUAUUAGUAAAUUAUCUACAUAUUUUAUAUAGACAAGUUUCACAGCAAACAUAAUUUAUAUCAUGGUAUUAAUUGCAUAAAUAAAACUGCUCAUGCUGCCAAACAGUAGAAGUACAAUUACAACAGAAAACUGAUAGGCAAUUCAAGGAAGCAUAACUGGAGUUUUAGAACUCCAGCAAACAUGAUUCUUAUAUUUUUGGAAAGCUUAUAAAGUUACCUACAACUUUCUUAUUAUCAUCUAAAUAUGAAUCUAGAGUUAACAAGGUCAAUUAAUCCCAUAAAGACAUCUCUGUCUAAAACAUAGACAGAAUCUGUCAUGCUACAUUAAACAGCUCUAACUUGAGGUUAACAUGUCCAUAAUUUAUGAUUGUGUACUUUCUAGAAAGCUUACUAAAUUGUGAACAACUUUGUUAUAAACAUCUAUAGCCAAAUCUACCACUAACAAGGCCUUACAUUACAAACAAUGCAAUCCUGUCUGGGUUUAGACAGAAACUGGAACAGUAAUUUAAACCACUAUAACUAAACAUGUGCUUAUCCUAAAAUUGUGCUAUUUACCUCUUUGGAAAGCCCAUUAAAAGUACUAAAACUUAUAUAUUUUCAUCCAGGCAAGAUUCACAACUUAACUGAGCCAAACAAUACAAACAUGCAGAUCCACUCAGAAUAGGAGCAAAGCAACACAGGGCAUUUGUUAUUUUUAUAACUCUUAGUCUAUCAAUCCUAAAUUGAUGAAACUUUUACCAGACAUCAAAUCUCAUAUGAAACGUAUGUCACAAUAUUUUCACAUUUAUUGGAGCAAUACUACAGCAGUUAUAAAAAAGACAAAUAUAGCAAGCAAUGAAAACCUAACUGCAUAAAUCUAUUUUUACGACUAAAAUUACAAACUAAACCAUGUCAUAUUAUAGAUCCACUGCAUAGACAAUUUCACAAGGAUCACAAAAAGUCCACAUUUGCUAUUUUACGAUUUUUCUACAAUUUAUGAUGAUUUUCCAAACUUCAGCCAUAUGAAGGAAAAACAGAUUUGCACAGAGACCCUUAAGUUAUCCGCAAAACAAACUACAACCGAGAGGUCCCUGUAGGUACUAUUCACAUGUGUCAUGACUUCACAUCUGGGCCCCUCACUUUUGUCCAAUUCGAGCCCGAGGUCCCUGGUCGCGAACAGAACAGGGGAGACUCGCCGGAGCUUCCUGUUCCGGCCUGUCGGAGCCUCGUCGGCGGCGAUGGAGGGGUGGGGAAGCAUCACGGCAAUGAGCCGCAGCCGUAGGUGGCCACGGCUCGGCCAAAGGUGGCCCGUGGCGGUCCGGCCACGCACGCACACCGACGGCGGCGGCGGCGGUGGCACGCCGGCGACCACGGCGACGGAUUCGGACGGCGAGCGCGAGCACGAGAUGUAGGAGAUGGAGGCGAAGCUACGGACAUUGAGGAGGUCCGGAGCAGCGAGAACGCGGCGGCAGGAGCUUCCACGGCGGCCAUGGCGACGGCGCGAGCAGCAGGGCGAGCACCGAGCGAAGGAGGAGCGAGCGAGGGUAGAGAGUGAGAGCAGGGAGGAGUAGGGAGUUCAGCGCCCACUUCUGGAUGCGCUGGGAGCAGGGCAGCGCGUGGCAAUGGAGGUGGGGGCGCCCAGCUUUCAUGGAGGACGCGUCGACAUUUCGUCGAGCACGUGGCGGGCAGUGAAGUGGCCGGUGUGGGAGGCGAUUUUGUGCUUUUUCCGGGCUGAAUUGGACCUUGGGCCAAAAACGAAGUUUGCCCACCUCGGUCUGCUCUCCAACUUUGAUUAAGUGAUCAUGGUCAUUAGACCAACAGAUUAAGAGAUAAUUAGAUGCCAAUUCCCGAGUGUCAACGUAUUGACGGCGAUUAGGAAAACCAAGAAUUGAUGGUCCAAACCAUGUCAAACUUGAUGCAACUUUUUACAUAACCUUCUUCAAACAAUUAUCCACAACUUUUACUUUUGGACCAACUUGAGUUGCUUAACAAAAACACGAGAACGCGGCAUGCCAACGGGUCGACGUCCGUUUAGCGAUAAAUUAAUCUUUUGCUGUUUUGGGAGCUAUGUUUGAACAUACAAAUGAACUCCAAAUUUGAUGAUACUUAAUCCAUUGAUUCCAUCAAGAAGAGUACUCCAACUCAUAUUAAGGAAUCUAAUUGAGUUACCAUAUGAAUUUGAAUAAUAAAAUGUCACAAAGAAGCUAACUUGCUGCUGUCACUUUCCUGGGACUUAGAAUUAUUUCUCAGGGAUAAAAAGCAGCAGCUGAGUCGAACUUGGAGCCUCUGUUUGAACUAUUUGCAUGCUGAUUUGGUUCUUUACCCUUGAAUAAAGUUUCUUCUACAGAAGCAAAACUACAACUUUCAUUUAGGGUCAAACCUCAUAACUGCAACAUAAGUCAAUCUUUCACUUUGGUCAAAGCAGUAACCCGAUAAAGCUCCAAACAGGGUUUUAGGCCAAUUGAAGCAUUUUCUUGACAUAAGCUCAACAUGAACCCUUCAUGACUUUUGUUGUAUAAUUCAUCUAGAGUCAUAUGUGCAAGUUUGGAAGGUUUGGUUCAUGACCCAUGAUUCUAUUUCCUUAAUAGAGUCAUUCCAACAAGGAUCUAACUUAUCAUUUCAUGUGACUUCUUGAUUCCAAACUUCACUAAACUUUUCCAGCGACCAACAUAGAUUGGGAUAGAUAUAAUACACAUGGAAAAGGUUCCACUAGCAUCAUCAAAGCAUACCUUUUAAAAUGGCAUAUAUGCAAGCAAGGUUGCAUCCACCAAGCCCAAGUUGGGGUUUACUUUCAUAGAUUGACUUUGACCUCUUUAUUACCAUUGAACUUGUCAUGUUUGAAUUCAAACCUAGUACUUAGCAAGUGACAAACACCUGGGGUGUUACAGCCUUCCCCCCUUAAAAGAAUCUCGUCCCAAGAUUCGGUGCAAAAGACAUUCAAGGGAAGAAAACAAUGUCACGCAUUUUCCAACAUUAGCAAUAGCAGUGGGCGACUUAGCUUAGAACAUCAGAGGAGCUAACUUGAUCCAAACAUUUUCUGAUACUUGCCCUUCAUAGUAAACCUUUAUCUAGAGAAUCUCCCUUUUUGUUUGACUUCAAUAAAGAACUGUUACUUUGGGAGGAAUCCAAGACAACACUGUUCCAUGUACUUUGUUUCUGGUUGUUUAGAGCCUAAGGAGCUACUUGUACCAUUAGCUUCUUUAGUGAAACUAAUGCAAGCCAUACGAACUUCACACCACUUCACAAGCUUCUAAGGGUUGCGCAUUAUAGUGAUUCCAGGCUCAUUCACAAGAUUUGAAAAGCAGUCCUCUACCAAAAUGGUUGGAGUGUAACUUUCCAUGCAUGCAGUUCUCUUUCUCUAAUGACAACAUUGUACUUACCACCUCGUUAAGAGAACGGUGAAUGUGAUAGCUGACUUUGUUGGUUUCAUGCCUUCCAUGAUCAUUUACUUUAAGGGAAUUCUUGUAUCCAAACAACAAAAGUUAUCUGGGUCAGAUCAGAUGUAACUUCUUGGGCAAUACAUAGAAGGUAACGAAGGCAUGUAAGAAUUGGAUAACCACUACUGACAAAGGAUGAUAGUGGGGCCUAUAGGUCUUCAACUGUUGCAAGUGUUCAACCAACUAAAGAAAUAGUUUACCACCAAGUAGGUUAAGCAUGACCUUUCUUCAUGAUGCAGUUGCAUAAGAGUUAGGUUGACUUGUACCAUAGAAAAACCAAUCCAAGGGAACUACUUUUGCUUUUGAGGUUUCCUUUUUAAGAUCAGUCAGUAGCUCUGGUAAUGAAAAUCUAUUGAUUGACACCUUUCCAAAUGUUUCUGGCUCACACUGGCACAAAUGGGUACAAAGAAUCUUGUUUCAUCAUAUAAGCACUAUCUAUACAGCAACACAUUGCCCAUAUUGUAAUCCAUUGCACCAAAACAAACACCACUCACAUUUCCAUGAAAUUUGGUAGAAUUAUUGAUCCAUGAGUCUUCCAACCUUUGAUCAAAAUUCAGCUCAAUCGGGCACCAUUUGUGUAGGUAUAACAUAUACAUACUAAACUUGUUCGAUGCUGAAACGGCAGUGUUCCGGACUGACAAGACAUCUCUCAUCUCUAAAGAUUGAUUCACUAGUUGAUGAAAUAUAUCCUUCAUGGCUAUCAAUCCAUCGUUUCCUUGCUUGAGAUUAGCUUUGUUACUAGCAACCAAUCAAUUGGCUCUCAGCACUAAAAAUUCCAAAGCUCCACACUUAACCACAACAACUGCGGUUGAUGCUUUAACAAUUGGUCACCUCCAAAACCAGGAGAUAAGGAUUCACGCUAAAGAUGGUUGACCUUAGCCGUAUGACCAUGAUGCUUAUAAAGAUCAAGACUUAGUAAAACUAGAUCAUAAGCACAAUGGUGAUGAUCAAUGCUUGCUCAAUAGAUAACUUGUCCAUCGUUAGGUGUCGUGUGUCCUUUUGGUUCAGCGUGGAUGACCAAUGUUGCUCAUUAAAUGGCUAUCAUCAUUGCAGGAAUAGUUAAAUAGUGUCACUUGUCUACCAUCUCUUGCAGUCUGUUAAUGUUUAUGUCAGUGACCCAUUCUUCAAGAUAAUCCUCUUUGUAACUUCAUAGGAAGUUCUCUUACUUGCACGUGAGGUAAGGAUCUUCUGAUCAAAUCUGGAUAUAAUUAAGGACAAACUCAUGAUGAGAUGACACAUUGGUGUAGUUCUGUAAUAGAGCCUGGCUAGCAGUCAACGAUACCAGUGCGUGCCGAGCAGCACAACCAUGUGUCGGCCGCCACAAGGGGCUCUCGGUUUCGUCACGGCACCAUCAAUCAUUAACCAAGACACCAUUACCGAACAUACAAUCCAAAAGAAAUCUCUCAUGGCAAAAAUUGAGUUGCAUAGCAGCGAGCACUUUGCAAAAGAGGGGUAUCAAACUGAGAUAGUCAUGAGAUUAGAGGUCCACAAGGAGGUGAUUUAAAGAUUAAACAUAGUACUAGAGAACAUAGAUCACAUGAGAUUAAGACGGAUAAACACCCAGAGACUCAAGAGAGUUGGAGAUAAAACGAUUGAGAUUUGAAAGAUUGAGUCAAUACACAGAUUAGGGGAUGGAUACACAACGUUCAAUAGCUAACAACCAUGCAUAAACUCAAGCUCUUUAUCAUUGGAAUCUACUUGGAGAUAACCAUGAGAUUAAAGUGACAUGAGUGUUAUUCUAAGAUAAGGCUCUUCAACACUCGCAUGCUUACUAAGGACAAAAAGGUAACAACUAUGACACUACCUAGUUAACCACAUCUACUCAUGUAUCAUAGUUUUAAGCAAACAUGUGGCAACAUCAAUCACACUAUCUCCAACAAUCAUUACUAAGCACAAAGUUUUGCAGAUAACAAGUAGUCAUCUAAAGCAACACUAGUACACAUGAACAUACAAAACAUGAUGGUACGGUGUUUUUAUCAUUUACUUUCUUUUACUAGAAAGGUGUAUGUCUCUUCUCUAGUCAUGAAAACAAAUUUUUAACUUAUGCUUAAAAGACUAGUCAUCUUAGAGAUGUGCAUCAUACUGACAGGGUGCACGAAUCAACCACAACACGGGCAAAACAAAGCUAAUCACACCCUACCUUCAAUUAUAGCUAUUCAAGCAACAUGGACCAAAGUAUUUUAUCUAACUGCACACAAUCAAGGUGACACACAUUGAUUCACAUGUUACUUAUUGUUAGAACAAGGUGAGAGAAGCAUAGUUAUACAUAACACAACAAUUAUGAUGAUGCAUGCUUCGUCCUAUUCGUUCUCACAAAAUUGCCAGCAUAAGGUGGCAAUCACGUUCUAUGUUGGUGGCAUAAUACGUACACUCUCGACAUAUAACUAGUCGUAAGCUAUAUUCAGUUUACGUAUUCAUGGUUAGCAUACCUGCAGAAAACUCAUUUCAGCCCACCCACAGUAUGAAACAUGCAGUACAAGAUUUAAAAGCUAUGCGCUCCACACACGUGUAUCCCCAUACCCGUAUGUGUAGUGCUACUACCCACAUCAUCGUCCUAGCGACGGCAUCGCCUCUAAGGACGGAAUCACCCAUCAUGCGAUACCUUUUCACAGGCACAUGUAAAAUGUGCACAUGAUCCAGUACCAAAAGCACUUCCCUAGAUCGGCGGUGUAUCCGAUCAUGCUCUCACAGCUCACACUUAACGAGGCGUAGAGGAAAAAAAUGAUCCACGCAUUACCAUUCAAGCGAAUGGCACUCAUACUAUUACACGCCGUAUGAGCAACGAAAUAGAAAUAUGAUGCAUAAACCCCCAAGUCAGUACUUAAAUAAGCCACCUAAAGGUCCUUAUUUGGGCAUAAAGGAAAUGACCAUUGGCAUACUUAGGUAAAACCUUUUCAGAUUUGGACACACCUAUAUCUAUAGUAGCUAUAAGCUAUCAAAAGCUAAUUUUAGAAAACAAAAUCUUUUGUUUAAAAUACACAUAUGACAAGUUUAAUGUUGAAUCUUGCUUUGAUACCAGCUGUAACAGAACCGCCCAAUUUACAAGCAACUACGAAAAACUCCCGCCAAAGCAGUUGCUUUACCGUAAUCGAACUCUCAUAAACCCGGUAGUCCGUGAGAUCACGAGGGAUUUCAAACCAACCAACAUACCAGCCAAGAUCGUAGUGAUUCAACAUAACAAGUCACAUGUUACAUCCAUUUCACAAAUAGUUUGACAUACAUCUGAGUUGAAUAUAGUUAUUACAACUUAAGUUGAAAAGUAGCGGAAGCAAAGUAAUUUGAAACUAAUUUUGCCCUCAUUUCAAAUACAUGCCAGUAUCCAGGUCAAUUCCAACAAAAGCAGUAUAGAUGAGGUAACUAAGAAGGAUCAUGCCAUGAUCUUACUCCUCUAGUAUGGUAGGAGUCAUCCAACUCUUGCAGUAGCCAUGAUACAUCACAACCUGCAACAAGUGGGAAUAAACCCUGAGUACAAGAAGGUACUCAGCUAGACUUACUCGUCAUAAACCAGAAAUAAUAUGACACCAAGGAGUAUGCAAGGCUUUAUUGGUGGAGCUAGCUUGACAACACUUUUUGCAUAAAAAGCUUAAGUUGCGACUAAGUAACCUUUUAGGUAUUUAGCUCAAGUUAAUAAUCAUUAACCUGUCAUCUAGAUUAGCACCUGUACUAAAGCAAUCACUUGAUUAAGAUACAACCAUAGUACCCAUAUUUGAUGUGGCAUUUCCAACAUCAUCAUCAUACCAUAACCAUCCAAGUGUUCCAUAAACAUUACUACGAGGACGUGGCUCAAGUCAAGUGCUCACUAUCCAGGAGCGAUGGCGAUUCGAAUCGAUUUCUGACCAGCUGGCGAGUUAUUCCCCACACAAACCACACUCACUGAUCAAGUGAGCUACAGGUCACCAUAUUGCACUAUCCAGGACCAAUUCGCGGGUUCGGCAGGCACCACCAGUACCCGAGGACCGUUCCGGCGACCGAGGUAUCCAAGGUAUACCAAGGUUGCGCGCCGCGCCCUCGUCGUUCUCCUCAACCAUCACCAAUACAGCGCAUGGCGGCUCGACUCCCGGCCCGGAUAGUGUUCAGGCUUCGCGGUCGGAACGACUUAUCCUUCCAGCUAAGUGUGGGGCAUGCGUUCAACAUGACAAGAGGGCCGUAAACGAUCGGUCCUUAAUCGACACAGGCGGGGAUAGAUAGGCACCCAAGACCUCCAUGUCUUGUUACUUCUCUAUCAUCGUCCCGCCCGGUCUCCAAUUAUUCAUCCUCAUCACUUGGUCAUUUCCAUGAUAGCAUAUAUAGCCGACCUUUUCAGGUAUCCACCUAUCUCGCUCAGGUGACAGGACAUCACCUAGCUUCUACCGAUCUAAGCAUAGCUAAGCAUUUAGAUUCGAUCCUGAAUCUACAUAGGGUCAUAGGUAUAUUUACUGGACAAAGAGUGAUAUAUGCAGCAAGGGUUUCACCCAACUCCUAUACUUAAUGCAACAAUACAUAUAUAACAUAUAUUCUCAAUUGCAUUCAAAAGUAGUGGGAGACUUAUAAUGCUCCGGGGCUUGCCUGGGAUCAACACUGAGUCGGUUCAGUUAGUUGCUCCAUCUUGAUGACAUCUUAGGUCGCAACACUUGCUUAGUCCUUCCACCUUCGGGAUGGGUCCACCCAACACCGUCUUCGAGUUUGUUCCCACACCAAGACCUUCACGUGAUACAUCUAUCACACCUAGAUGAGAUGCAAGAUGCAAGUGCAUGAAUAUGCGGAAUAGUGACACAACAUGCAUUACAUAAAAGUAUGCAAGACACAUGCCUCUAAGUUAUUUAACUAAAAUCUCAAAACCAAAUAUUUAGAAAACAUAUUAAUCACAACAUAAGUUUAACAAGUUUACAAGUGUAUUACUUAAUCACCGCUAAAGACAUGUAUCAUAGUUAGCACACAAAGUAAAGCAAUCAAGCAUUCAUGUAUUUCAGCAAUUCUGGACAUACAUGCAACAACUCAGUAAAUAAAUCAUAACUGGAGUUACACAACUCCAAAAACUAUGCAAUAGGACAUUCUGGAAAGAUUAUCAAAUUAUCUACAAUUCAUCUUUAAUCAUAUUAGCAUGAUUAACAAGUUAACCAAGUCAAACAUGCAUGACCAUAUAAUCUGGUCCAGGUAUUUCCAGAGAACAAGCAUUUUAAAGAAUGAAAUUCAUACUACUGUAACUCACAAACCACUUAGCAAAAUGAUAUGAAACUUUACCACAAUAUAUAUUAGUAAUUUAUCUACAUAUUUUAUAUAGACAAGUUUCACAGCAAACAUAAUUUAUAUCAUGGUAUUAAUUGCAUAAAUAAAACUGCUCAUGCUGCCAAACAGUAGAAGUACAAUUACAACAGAAAACUGAUAGGCAAUUCAAGGAAGCAUAACUGGAGUUGUAGAACUCCAGCAAACAUGAUUCUUAUAUUUUUGGAAACCUUAUAAAGUCACCUACAACUUUCUUAUUAUCAUCUAAAUAUGAAUCUAGAGUUAACAAGGUCAAUUAAUCCCAUAAAGACAUCUCUGUCUAAAACAUAGACAGAAUCUGUCAUGCUACAUUAAACAGCUCUAACUUGAGGUUCACAUGUCCAUAAUUUAUGAUUGUGUACUUUCUAGAAAGCUUACUAAAUUGUGAACAACUUUUUUAUAAACAUCUAGAGCUAAAUCUACCACUAACAAGGCCUUACAUUACAAACAAUGCAAUCCUGUCUGGGUUUAGACAGAAACUGGAACAGUAAUUUAAACCACUAUAACUAAACAUGUACUUAUCCUAAAAUUGUGCUAUUUACCUUUUUGGAAAGCCCAUGAAAAGUACUAAAACUUAUAUAUUUUCAUCCAGGCAAGAUUCACAACUUAACUGAGCCAAACAAUACAAACAUGCAGAUCCACUCAGAAUAGGAGCAAAGAAACAUAGGGCAUUUUUUAUUUUUAUAACUCUUAAUCUAUCAAUCCCAAAUUGAUGAAACUUUUACCAGACAUCAAAUCUCAUAUGAAACGUUUGUCACAAUAUUUUCACAUUUAUUGGAGCAAUACUACAGCAUUUAUAAAAAAGACAAAUAUAGCAAGCAAUGAAAACCUAACUGCAUAAAUCUAUUUUUACGACUAAAAUUACGAACUAAACCAUGUCAUAUUAUAGAUCCACUGCAUAGACAAUUUCACAAGGAUCCCAAAAAAGUCCACAUUUGCUUUUUUACGAUUUUUCUACAAUUUAUGAUGAUUUUCCAAACUUCAGCCAUAUGAAGGAAAAACAGAUUUGCACAGAGACCCUUAAGUUAUCCGCAAAACAAACUACAACCGAAAGGUCCCUGUAGGUACUAUUCACAUGUGUCAUGACUUCACAUCUGGACCCCUCACUUUUGUCGAAUUCGAGCCCGAGGUGCCUGGUCGCGAACAGAACAGGGGAGACUCGCCGGAGCUUUCUGUUCCGGCCCGUCGGAGCCUCGUCGGCGGCGAUGGAGGGGUGGGGAAGCAUCACGGCAAUGAGCUGCACCCCUAGGUGGCCACGGCUCGGCCAAAGGUGGCCCGUGGCGGUCCGGCCACGCACGCACACCGACGGCGGUGGCGGCGGUGGCACGCCGGCGACCACGGCGACGGAUUCGGACGGCGAGCGCGAGCACGAGAUGUAGGAGAUGGAGGCGAAGCUACGGACGGCGCUUGCAGGGAGUGAGGAGGUCCGGAGCAGCGAGAACGCGGCGGCAGGAGCUUCCACGGCGGCCAUGGCGACGGCGCAAGCAGCAGGGCGAGCACCGAGCGAAGGAGGAGCGAGCGAGGGUAGAGAGUGAGAGCAGAGAGGAGUAGGGAGUUCAGCGCCCACUUCUGGAUGCACUGGGAGCAGGGCAGCGCGUGGCAAUGGAGGUGGGGGCGCCCAGCUUGCAUGGAGGACGCGUCGACAUUUCGUCGAGCACGUGGCGGGCAGUGAAGUGGCCGGCGUGGGAGGCGAUUUUGUGCCUUUUCCGGGCUGAAUUGGACCUUGGGCCAAAAACGAAGUUUGCUCACCUCGGCCUGCUCUCCAACUUUUAUUAAGUGACCAUGGUCAUUAGACCAACAGAUUAAGAUAUAAUUAGAUGCCAAUUCCCGAGUGUCAACGUAUUGACGGUGAUUAGGAAAACCAAGAAUUGAUGGUCCAAACCAUGUCAAACUUGAUGCAACUUUUUACAUAACCUUCUCCAAACAAUUAUUCACAAGUUUUACUUUUGGACCAACUUGAGUUGCUUAACAAAAACACGAGAACGCGGCAUGCCAACGGGUCCACGUCCGUUUAGCGAUAAAUUAAUCUUUUGCUGUAUUGGGAGCUAUGUUUGAACAUACAAAUGAACUCCAAAUUUGAUGAUACUUAAUCCAUUGAUUCCAUCAAGAAGAGUACUCCAACUCAUAUUAAGGAAUCUAAUUGAGUUACCAUAUGAAUUUGAAUAAUAAAAUGUCACAAAAAGCUAACUUGCUGCUGUCACUUUCCUGGGACUUAGAAUUAUUUCUCAGGGAUAAAAAGCAGUAGCUGAUUCGAACUUGGAGCCUCUGUUUGGACUAUUUGCAUGCUGAUUUGGUUCUUUACCCCUGAAUAAAGUUUCUUCUACAGAAGCACAACUACAACUUUCAUUUAGGGUCAAACCUCAUAACUGUAACAUAAGUCAAUCUUUCACUUUGGUCAAAGCAGUAACCCGAUAAAGCUCCAAACAGGGUUUUAGGCCAAUUGAAGCAUUUUCUUGACAUAAGCUCAACAUGAACCCUUCAUGACUUUUGUUGUAUAAUUCAUCUAGAGUCAUAUGAGCAAGUUUGGAAGGUUUGGUUCAUGACCCAUGAUUCUAUUUCCUUAAUAGAGUCAUUCCAACAAGGAUCUAACUUAUCAUUUCAUGUGACUUCUUGAUUCCAAACUUCACCAAACUUUUCCAGCGACCAACAUAGAUUGGGAUGGAUAUAAGACACAUGGAAAAGGUUCCACUAGCAUCAUCAAAUCAUACCUUUUAAAAUGGCAUAUAUGCAAGCAAGGUUGCAUCCACCAAGCCCAAGUUGGGGUUUACUUUCAUAGAUUGACUUUGACCUCUUUAUUACCAUUGAACUUGUCAUGUUUGAACUCAAACCUAGUACUUAGCAAGUGACAAACACCUGGGGUGUUAUAGAAAUCAAGACAUAUCUCACAGAUAAUCACAUAGACACCACCUGUGACCCGCCACAAUUCCCAGUAUGAAUAGCCAAGCAGAUUCGUAAUUCAAUAAUGUUCUAAACAAAAAUGAGUAGCAGCUAGGGUUCAACCGUUACGCUUCUAGGGUUCCCAAAAUGAGCAAACACAAAAAUGUUCUAAACAAUAAUAAACAUCAGGCGAAUUCAACAGUUACGCUUCUAGGGUUCUCAAACCUUGGGGAACUAACACAGAUGCGGAAUCAGACAUGACACUGGAUCAGAGAGUUUGGGGUUACCUGCGCCGGAACGAGAUGAGAUCAGUCACGCGCGUUUGUGUGGUGUUGGAGGCGACAGGAAGAAGACACGGGCGGGCAAGUCACCACGUGUGGAGCUCCGGCCCACCAACGGCGUCUAGGGUUCGCGGACCGAGCAGGUCGCCAAGGUUGUGGAAGGAGCAGGUCGCCAAGCUCGCGGAAGAAGAGGGGCGACGGUGGUCCCCGGCUCGUGGACGCGCGCGGGCGGUCCGCCGUGCACGGAUCUCUGGCUCCCGGUGGCGGCUAGGGUUCUGAAGGGCCGGUGACGUGUAGCGGAGUGGUGCGUGGCAUGGGGACCGACGAAGGGGGGGAGGAGAGCUCGGGGAGUGGAGGAGGCGGAGGCGAGGGGGGAGGAGUGCUCGCGGCUGUGGCUGCGGCGGCGCCGGCGGGCGAGUUUGGCAGCCUGGCGGCGGCAUAAGAAGAAGAGAGUCAUGCCCAGACUUAGCCGAAUAACCCUAGUGGCGGCGGCCACUAUUUAUUUAGGGCACGAACACCGUAAGGGCGGUUGAGGUCUAGAACCGCCCUAACAGUGGUUUUUUUUUUCAGAAUUUUAAUAUUUUUAAAUAAAAUAGAUUUAAACAAUUGUACAAUUUAUACUUAACCUUUAAAAUAUAUUUAUAAAAUAAAUUUAAACUAUUGUAUUUUUUUAAUUGAUUUAUCUAUAUGAAGUGUAUAAUUUUGAACUAUUCCAUGUUUUUUAAAAAAAAUAAAAAUCAAAUGUUUUUAGAAAUAACUAUUCCAUGUCCUAUGUAUGGAAUGUGUAUCUUGAUGAGCUCUAUCUACCUUGUAUUCAAAAGUUUUUCAUUUGAGGUCAUUUACUCACUCGUUUGACCAGGUUUGACUAAGCCACGCCUUGGGUUUUCAAAACAUGUCAACUGAGUUUUCUGUAACUUUUCCAAAUGCAAAAAUGUAUUGUGUAUCAAAGGUAGACCUUGAUGAGAUCUAACUAUGUUGUAUUCAAUUUGUUUUCAUUUGAGGUCUUUUAUUGCCUAGUUUGACCUAGUUUGACCAAGUCAAACAUUGGAUUUUUUAGAAAAUACACUUUGACCGGAUCCGGGAUGGUCUCAGAUGCAAAAGUCAUGAAUACAAAGUUUGUUCCCCUUAUCAAGAUACACAUUUGUUGUAAUGGUCAACUUUUCAUCUGAGAUGGUUUGGACCACUAAAAUUUUGAAAUUUCAAAUUUUCACUGCUACACGCACGUUUUCGGGACCCUAGACGGCCCCAACUCCGAAAGUCAUGAAUAGCAACUUUGUUCCACUCAUCAAGAUCUACAUUUGAUAUAUAGGACAUUUUUGCAUUUGACAAAGCGUUAAGAAAGUGCAGUUCUAAAUCCACAAGUCCCGCAUGUAGUUUCAUAAAGUCUAUGUGUGAUUCAAGACUUUGUGACUAGAGUUUACAAAAACUUUCUCAAAUGCAAAAAUGUCCUAUGUAUGGAAUGUGUAUCUUGAUGAUCUCUAUCUACCUUGUAUUCAAAAGUUUUUCAUUUGAGGUCAUUUACUCACUCGUUUGACCACGUUUAACCAAGCCACGCCUCGGGUUUCAAAACAUGUGAACUGAGUUUUCUGUAGCUUUUCCAAAUGCAAAAAUGUAUUGUGUAUCAAAGGUAGACCUUGAUGAGAUCUAACUAUGUUGUAUUCAAUUUUUUUUCAUUUGAGGUCUUUUAUUGCCUAGUUUGACCCAGUUUGACCAAGUCAAACAUUGGAUUUUUUAGAAAAUACACUUUGACCGGAUCCGAGAUGGUCUCAGAUGCACAAGUCAUGAAUACAAAGUUUGUUCCCCUUAUCAAGAUACACAUCUGUUGUAAUGGUCAACUUUUCAUCUGAGAUGGUUUGGACCACUAAAAUUUUGAAAUUUCAAAUUUUCACUGCUACACGCACAUUUUCGAGACCCUAGACGGCCCCAACUCUGGAAGUCAUGAAUAGCAAUUUUGUUCCACUCAUCAAGAUCUACAUUUGAUAUAUAGGACAUUUUUGCAUUUGACAAAGCGUUAAGAAAUGUAGUCUCACACACAUACAUAAAUGUAGUCUCACACACAUACAUAAAUGUAGUCUCACAUGGAUACAUAAAUGUAGUCUCACACACAUACAUAAAUGUAGUCUCACACGCAUACAUAAAUGUAGUCUCACAUGGAUAUAUAAAUAAAGUCUCACACACAUACAAAUGACUAUUUAUUAGUAUCUGCCGCCGUAACAGUUUUCCACUUCACACCUUUUCGUUCCCAUGGCAAUACAUCUUUGGGUAGGUUUUUUUCCACAACAUCGAUCUUGUUAAUAAAGUCUGUGAAUAGCGGCAUCUGAUCGCACUUAUUGUAGGCUUCAACAUCAUCAACGCCAUCAACUCCGAUAAUGUGUUGUUUUCCAGGGAUAACCACAUGCUUAGGUUGCUUCUUUGGGGGGACAAUGCUGAGCGGGUCGGUCAUAUAGAAAACCUGUGUAACAUGUGAAGCAAGGACCCAUGGAUCAUCCUGGUAGCCUAUGUUGUGAAGGUCCACGACCCUCAAUCUGAUUUCAUUGAAUUCAUGUUGCUUGAUCCAGCGACAUCGAAAUAGGGCCACAUUUAGUGCCUCAGUUCCAUAGUCAAGUUCCCAUAUAUCUUCAAUAUGCCAAAGUAGUCGAUCUUUUGUCCCCCUGCGCCGAUAGCCACUGCUCGAACACCACUGUUUUGGUUCACACAUUUACUAUCCUUUGCGUGGGUAUAGUAUGUGUACCCAUUGAUCUCAUAAGAACUCCAAGAUGUCACCUGUCUUGAUGGCCCCACUGCGAACUUACUGAUGGUAAUAGAAUCUAUGGUUUCUCCAAGCUGUAUGUUUUGGUCCUUCAACCCUGAAGUUAGGCAUUGCUUGUGUUGUUUCAUGACCCAAUCACCUGUACGACCAUUUCUCUCUGAUUGGAUGAUCUCCAUGUGUUCAUCAAUAUAUGAUUCCAUCAGUUUUGUGCUCACCAAGACAGCGUAGUGCGCCCGACUCACUUCAGCGUAUUCCUUGUCGAUGAAGAUUUUUCUACCAUUUGUGCCCUUCCCGGCCAGCCUACCCUUGUAGUGAGAAUCGGGAAUACCAAUCGCUGUCUGUACUUUUAGGUACUCUUAACAGCACUCGAUGACUUCUUCACUACUGUAGCCCUCUAUCAUAGAGCCCUCUGGGUAUGCACGAUUAUGCACAUAUCAAAUUAGAACCGACAUGAACCGCUCAUACGACCACAUUUCAUGCAAGUAGCAAGGGCCCAACGCCUGUAUCUGAUGAACCAUGUGAAUCAUGAGAUGUACCAUAGGGUCAAAGAAAGCGGGAGGUAAACACAUCUCUAGUUGGUUUUGGGUCUCUAUGACAAAAUCAUGUAGGUCACUCAGCUCUGUCUUGUUAAUCUUCUUCUGUGAGAUCUUCGACCAGAAGUAGCACAUGCGGGUGAUAGCCAUCUUUAAAAACUCUAGCUUGAUAGCCCUUAUUGCGAUUGGUAGGAACACCGUCAGCAUCAUAUGACAAUCGUGAGCCUUGCAGUGUGGAAAUGAUAGGUCCUUCAUCGACACUAGCUUCUUCGGGUUUGCCGAAAACCCAGUCGGGACUUUGAUCCCCUUCACAGAAGUGCAUAAACCUCUCCUCUCUUCUAGGUCCAGGUUGUAGCUAGCCGCGGGUAGGGUGUAUUUUCCAGUUUUUGUCUCAAGUACCGGGUGAAGCUCUGGCAUCACAUGUAGUUGCUCCAUGUCUCUCCUUGCUUUGAGACUAUCCAUUGACUUCGGAGUGUCCAUCAAGGUAGCAAUGAGACUCUCAAAGACAUUCUUCUGCACAUGCAUAGCAUGAAUGGCAUGGGGGACCUCCAAUUGUGGCCAAUAUUCAAGAUACUAAAAGAAGAUUGACUUUUUCUUAAAAGGAACGCCUUCAAUAGGAGGUGUGCUUCUAUCUCUAGGUGUUCCAUCCAUUUUCUUCUUUCCAUAGAUGACGCUUAUAUUUUUCACCAUUUGGAACACAUAUUGUCCAUCAUGACGUCUCUCCGGAGGUCGAUCUUCAUCCUCUGGGAUGUUGCCAAAAUACUUUAAGUACAGUUUGCUACGGUACUUGUGACCUUGCUUUAAAAACGACGAUUCCUGAUGUAAACAGUCUUCUUAGAUCCAUCUAGGUACACCCAUUUAGUAUCAUCCAGACAGACUAAGCAUCCUGUCUUGCCUUUGAUUUGUCCAGACAAGGCAAACAAUGCAGGGUGGUCGUUGAUAGUCACAAAUAUUAUUGCUCUUAAAGUGAAGGUCUCCUUUUGGAAAGCAUCAUACAUCAGCUCCCCUGUCCUCCAAAGUUUCUCGAAUUCUUCCAUCACAGGCUCGAGGAACACGUCCAUAUCAAAGCCUGGUUGCUGAGGGCCAGAAACAAGAACAGUGAGGAAAAGAUACUUUCUCUUCUGACACAACCACGUUGGAUGUUGUACAUGGUCAAGAUCACUGGCCAAGUGCUAUGGUUGCUCGUCCUCUCGUUGAAGGGAUUCAUUCCAUCGGUGCUCACGGCAAACCGUACAUUCUUUGGGUCCGAACUGCACAGUGGGUUGUUAUUAUCAAAGUCCUGCCACUGACUGCCAUCGGCCGGGUGUGCAAUCACAUCGUCAUCGACCUUGCGCUUAUCGUCCCACCAUGUCAUGAGCGCGGCUUCCUUAGGGUUCAGGAAAAUACGCUUCAAGCGAUUAGUCACUGGCAGAUACCACAUUACCAAGGCAGGAAUUUUUCUCUUCUUUGCGUCGUUGCCUAAUGGGGUGUCCUCUGGAGGUCGAGAUUCUUGUACCACCUUUUUGGAACCCUUCUUACUCCUGUUGUUCCUGGUGGAGGCUUCUCCGCCACUGUAAAGGUCAUUGUCCUUGUACCGACUUGCCCCACAACGAGGACAUUUAUCUAGACCUUCGAACGUUUCACCACGAAAAAGGAUACAAUGGUUGGGGCAUGCAUGGAUCUUUUCAACACCCAUUGUUAAUGGACUUAUGACCUUCUUAGCAUGGUAUGUGUUGGAGGGAACUAAGUUCGGCAUUGGCAGCACAGAUGACAGAAGAUGCAACAGCUCGUCAAAACUGCAGUCUGACCAGCCGUACUUAGCCUUCAGGAUGAGUAGCUCAAGCACAAAACGGAGCAGUGUCCAAUGUGUUGGACAGCCCUUCUCAACACCAUACACAGUCUCCUUGGAUGCUGUUUUCACCCACUCUAGAUUUUUCUAGACCCUUCUUCUGUUGUAGUAUUUCUGGCCCAAUGGCCCGAAGCAUUUCCUCUAAGUUGUCAAAGUUUUCUGCAUCCUCCUCACAUGCUCCAACAUCAUUAUUGUCAACACCGCCAACAUCCCCAUCAUUAUUGACGACACCACCGGCAUCAUCACCACGUGAUUGUUCAUUUGCUGAAUCAUGUUGCAUUUGUGCUUCAAACAUGUCUGCGUAUUGGGACAACAAUUGGCCUUCUUCAGCAUCAUCUUCUUGGUCAUCAUCGUUGCCAUCAAGAAACAUUACUUCACCAUGAUGAAGCCAUACUGUGUAGUUCGGGACAAAUCCUCGCCUAAUCAGAUGUGAUCUGAUGAUUUCCACAUCAUAAGUUGCUAAGUGGUUCUUGCAAUCUUUACAGGGACAAAUAACUGAACAAAUAUUUCCUGCUGACAACGUCUUUACAUGAUUCACCACGAUUGUAAUAAAUUUGUCCACCUCAUCAGCAUAGGCUUGUGAGUACCUUGGCAAACCAUACAUCCAAGUAGCUCUAUUCUCCAUCUUUACAUAAAUAAAAAAAUUAAUUAGUUGAGAAUAAUUAUUAGCAACAAUUAAUAAGUAACAAUUAUUGUCUACCAUUAUUAGCAACAAUUAGUAGCUAUCAUUAUUAGCAAUAAUUGUGUUAGAAAUGAUAAUUCGACAUAAUUAAUAGUACCAAUUAUUAUCUACCAUUAUUAGCAACAAUUAAUAAGUAACAAUUAUUAUCUACAAUUAUUAGCAACUAUUAUUAGCUAUCAUUAUUAGUAAUAAUUGUGUUAGAAACGAUUAUUAGUCAUAAUUAAUAAUACCAAUUAUUAUCUACCAUUAUUAGCAACAAUUAAUAAGUAACAAUUAUUAUCUACCAUUAUUAGCAACAAUUAUUAGCUAUCAUUAUUAGUAAUAAUUGUGUUAGAAAUGAUUAUUAGACAAAAUUAAUAUUACCAAUUAUUAUCUACCAUUAUUAGAAAUAAUUAAUAUUAACAACAACUAAUAGUUUACCAAUAACUAUUCAUGCCAACCACAUUCCAAAUUCAUGAAACAAAAACAAAAAAAGGAAACCCUAGAUCUAGAAUGCCUUCUCUCCAUACAUGAAACUACAAUUAAUCUCCAAUAAAAUCAAGCUAUAUCACCUAAUUGAUGGUGCAAGGUGGUGUCUCUACCUAUUCUACACUAAUAGCAUCGUAGAUAAGCUCUAAUUUGGUCAACACAAAGCUCAAGCUCCAUGGAAGAGAGAGAAAACCAAAAUGUAAAUUGCUCACUAACCAACCAACAAAACAUGGAUUAGAGGGUGGGAAUAGCAUUUUCUUACCUUAAAGAAGUUCCCCACCAAAGGAUUUAAGUUCAAAACCUCCCCCCCUUCCUAGAGUGAUUUUAGGGAGGUGCCCAAGGCCUCCCAAACCUUUUUUUGCGAGUCGAAGUGAGUGGCUCGGGGAGGAAGAACAGUAGGCUGGCCACUUAUGGUACAGACCACUCCCCUACAGUGCCUCCCCCACUGUAAGGGCGGCUGGUAACACCAACCACCCCUACAGAGAACACUGCAAGGGCGGCUCACUCCCUGGUUGGCUGCCCACCCACUGUAAGGGCGGUUUAAAUGUUAGCCGCCCCUACAGUGUGGGGGGGCGCUCUCUUAGCAAGUUUUUCACGUAGUGUCAUGCGAGAGCAGAAACGAAGGAACGACGUGAGGUGGGACGAACAGACCUCAUAAUAGAUGAGUCCUUGCAUGGUGAUUUGCUUGAUGACCACACGUAGCAGCGUGGCCCAUUAGUCUACCACCUCUGCAAAAAAGAAGGAAAACUAUCCAAAUUAUUUUAUAGAUUUUUAUUAAUUUUUGAAAAAUGUAAAAUUAUAAUAAAACUAUCCAAAUUAUAAGAGUUUAAAAUCAAAAGCGACCACUUAGGCAGUCAAGCCAUCAUAUUUGAAACCAUAUAAUUCAACGAAAUCAUGAAGGAUUUUAAACAACCAUCGAUAAGCCAAGAUCGUACAUGAUCAACACAAACACAUCACNNNNNNNNNNNNNNNNNNNNNNNNNNNNNNNNNNNNNNNNNNNNNNNNNNNNNNNNNNNNNNNNNNNNNNNNNNNNNNNNNNNNNNNNNNNNNNNNNNNNAAAAAGAAAAAAAAAAAAAAAAAAAAAAAAAAAAAAAAGAGGAAAAAACCCUCAGACGGCAGUCAGCCGAAACCUAGACUCGCGGGGUUUGGUGGGUUAUCACCGGUACAGGAAAGGGCUUUAGCCCCGGGCUGUAAGGGCCUUUAGUCCCGGCUACGGAACCGGGGCUAAAGUUUCGGGACUAAAUGUCCCACCUUUAGUCCCGGUUCCGCGGACCGGGACUAAAGGUCCACCAUUAGUCUCGGUUGGUAACAGAAACCGGGACUAAAAGGUGCGCCAGGGUGUGCCACCUGACCUCCACUUUUAGUCCUGGUUGUUGCUACCAACCGGGACUAAAGACUUUUUCUUUGUUCCUUUUCUUUUCAUUUGGUUUUCUAUUUAGGGUUUACAAUUAUGUUAUUAUUAUUUUUGAAUGCGUAUUGUUUGCUAGUAGUUUAUGAAGGCGCACCUAUAAUUUAUAUAAUUUAAAGCAUUACAUAUAAAUAUACUAUAAAACACUAUAUAUAUAUAUAUAUAUGUAUUAUAUGUAUCUAUAGGUCCAUAAUAUAAUAUUUACACAUAUGCUUCACGGACAAAGUAUGUACAACACAAUUUAUCUCCGCCACUCAAGCAUCGUACAAAUGAUCAUCGUUAUUUGGUUUCAUUGGCUCCUGAGAGUUGAAGUAGCACUCGCCGCCGGGAUUCAGGACAUGGUCGUUAAGAAAUCCUGCGAUUGUCUCCUGAAUUCCUUUUAGGCGCACCGCAUCCAACACGUGCUCCUUCAACCACAUAUCCUUUAAUAGACAUUAAAGAAAAAAGUUAGAGGUAUGAAUAGGAUUAUUAAAUAGCAACAAAUAAAUGAAAUAAACUUAUCAUAUAUACAUGUUACAUACUUUUAGGUGCUCAAGAUUAGUUCUUUUAGCAUAGACCGUCAUAAACUCGCACACAUUGUACCCACACAAAUUGUUGCCCGGUGUCUGCCGUAGAACCCACUGAAGUAAGAUGGGCUUUGAAAGAGCUGCAUUCAACUCUGGACGGUGUUUCUGCACGAACCCAGCCCAAACCCUAGCAAUAAAACGAUCAUUAUUAAUUAUCUAUUACCGAGUUAAAAGAGCAGAACUUAAUAUAUAGAGAUCGGAGUUAGCCUUGGAUAAUAUUUAUCAUUUCUUGGUAAUCGUCCUAUGGUUUUCUCAAUGAGUCAUAGAUUACCAAUUGACAUUGCCAAAGAUCAAUGACAAUUAGUAUCAAAUGAAAACUGCAUUUUGUGCAUGUAGGCAAAAUUAGUAUAUAUCUUCAUACUGAUAUGAUUAAUUAGUUAAAUAGAAUGUACACAUGAUAACGAGACUUACUUAAAGUUGUAGGGAAAGAGUAUAUAUCUUUUAUCUUUUUGGUUGAUCAAGAACCUCCGUAGAUUUCUCUCCGUUUGAGUUCUCCAUAAGACAUAUGGGGUCUUCUGGUCUUUGAAUACAACAUUUGGAUCCACAAAUCCAAUCUCCUUGUCAUUUCUAACUCUAAGGUCCCUCAUCAUGUUUCUGCAUAUGUAUAGUGGGUUUCUGUAAUUAGUUAUAUAUAUACAUGAUAAGUUACAGUGACAUUAUUGAAAGAAAGAAUCACUUACACACAGAAGCAACUCAUUAGAGAUUUGUCAAGAGUGUCCAUGUGGCAUAGUUGGUGUCGCUCAUUAAAUUGAAUAUAAAUAAUAUCAUCACCACAGAAGUAAUGAUAGUUUCUAAUUCGGACACAAUGUUAGUCAUCUGCUUUUCUGACACACGCUGUCAAGUACCAUUUGUUUAGCAUGUACAUUUGCGUUCUAAGUUUCCUGAGGGCCGUAGGGUUGUAUAGACUCUUGCCAUAUGUAUAUUCAUUUUGCCAAUGAUCAAAUUCUAGAGCACUUUUAAUUGGUGCCCCAGCUAUCAUUUGGGAUAAGCAAAGACCAGUUUCCGCAAAAAAAAAUUCGAGCUCAUCAAAUUUUAAAUCUGCCGAUAUCUGCUGGUCUAGCACGUCAAUGUUUGAACCAUAUUCAUUUCCAAUUACUAGCGGGGCACUGAUUGCUUUGGUUGUUCCCCAAGGUGUGCUACACCCUUGCGUGCUCUUUUCUCUUUCUUCUUCUCUUCUUCUAUGGAUUUCCUUAAAGUGCGAUCAUAGUCCGAUAAAGAUGAUGAUUCUUUCUUCUCUUUGUCGUAGAUCUUCUGGCCAUAGUAAGAGGUAUGGUUUCUCAUUUCGCUUGGCUUCUCUUUCAGUCUUAAGUUUCUUGAAGAAACUAUCCACAUCUGAUUUUACCAAAGCAUCUUGUUCUGCAUCAGUCUUCUCAUAGGAUAACUUCUUAGGAAUGAUAGCUUGUUUCUUUUCGGAGGCUUUCUUUUUUGGCGGCGAGGUGGCCGACACGUUUGAUUGUGUGGCCGGCCUCUUCUUUCAUGCUGGAGCCACGUGUGGAGGCGAUGGGGUGGCCGGUGGUGGUGUUGGAGCCCGAGGAGGCGGCGUUGGAGCCCUAGGUGGCGUUGGAGCCAUAGGUGGCGGUGUUGGAGCCUGAGGUGGUGGUGUUGGAGCCCGAGGUGACGGUGUUGGAGCCUGAGGUGGCGGUGUUGGAGCCCGAGGUGGCGGUGUUGGAGCCCUAGGUGGUGGCGUUGGAGCCUGAGGUGGUGGCGUUGGAGACCAAGGCGAUGCAGCCGUGUCUUGCACUCCCUCAUCAUUACCCGCAGCACUAUGACAUGUUGGUGACCACCUGUGAAACCAAAAGGUAUAUGAGUAAACCGCUAACUAAGAGAAUGCAAAAUAAAGUUAGUGAACAAAUGUAUAGUCAAUUUUCAUCUGCACCUAGGAUUAGAUUCAUGAUGAGGAGGUGGUGGUAGUCUACUAGGUGAUGCCCCAGGAAUAAUGAUGUAGCGCUUGCGCCAACAAAUAAAAGUCUUUUCUGCUUCUCCUAGAGUCUUCCCUCCAUCACCUCCUUCUAUCUAAAGCUGCACAUUACUGAAGCCUUUGACAACUCUAUCCACCGAGACACUAGCAUAUCCAGGUGGAACUAUCGCCCCAUGGAUUCUUGGUGUCUUCGUAGGGUCGACAGGAGUUAAACACCGACCGCAACCAUGACUGUGGCAGUCCUCUGUGGAUAUGCAGCUCACAUGUUGUUAGAGGUUUAGUGAUGUCAUCCACUGGAAAGUGCAGCCCCACGUCGUCUUGAAUAGUUGGCAUCUAUGUGGAAGCGCAACUGCUUUUCAACUGACCGGAGGGGCUAAUGUUGACUCCAGGCUCUGAUGCAGUUUGCCUUUGUAUAGGACUUACUGCCAUCUGCACUGGUCUUCUGAUCUCCUCGUUCAUUCUCUCUUCAACCGCUUUCUCUCGCGCUAUCGCUUCAUGAUCCACUUCGCGUGACUCCAUCACCAUUGCCAGCAACCUACGCAACCGCUCUACUUCCUUUUCCUUCUUUCUUUGGCGGCUUCUAUAAGUCGGUCUAUCUUUAGGGAAGCCCACCGUGUUCAGCAGUCUCCAGGGCAUAUGUCAGCUCAUCCUUUUCUCUAUUUGGCUGCCAGGUGCCACUUUCAAAUAAUCCUCUAGCAUAGGCCAUUCUCUAUCCUACUCUCUCGAGCUUUUCGCCGUACACUAUCUUUCCGAUCUCUAGGUCUAUGGUUCCCCCAUGACCGAAGAACCAAUACUUGGCAUGCUCAGGCCAAUACAUUGAUUCUGGUUAUAUCCCCCUCCCAAGAAUGUCCUGUUCCAGCUUUUGCCACUUAGGAAUAGCAGUCCAAUAGCCACCUAAACCCAAGUGAUGGUGGUAUUGCUUUUGUUUAGCAUUUUCCUAAUUCUUGAUCAUCCGUGCCUCACCCUCUUCUAAGUUCUUAAACUCUACGAACUCAUCCCAAAAAGGCCUAAACUGGACAUAGGCCUUGUUGGUGAAACCCGGUGUCCGGCCAUGUGCAACAAAAGUCUUGUAUAAUGUCUUCUUCCAAGCUUGAAAUUGUUUGGCCAUCAUCUGCAUAGCCUAGAUUUUAACCUUCUCCUUCAAAGCUUCAUAUUGUGUAUCGAGCAUGAAAUGUUGAAGGACAUCUAGCCAAAUAAAUUCCUUGUCACGAUCUGAGACAAAACUAAUACUAGGGUUAUCUUUCCGUUGCCUCCAUUCAUGAGCACUGACCGGGAGCCUGUCCCUUACAAGGUACCCACAGUGCGUAACAAAUUUUUUAGAAUUGGCCCCAAGCACUUGUCUUGUACCCUCAUCAAAUUCUGACAGAAUAUACCGACCCUCCAACAGCUUCUUCGUGCCGCGCACUUUUCUACUCUUCUCAGAAGUUGUCGCCGAUUUAGAGAUCUACACAAACAAUUAUAAAUAUAUUAAUACAAAUGCCAUUUAUUUUAGUUUCAUAUAUACAUAUAUAUUAGAUUAUAGAUAGACCUUAUCAGGAUUGUCUCCCAUAAGUUCUUCAUAAUCAACAAAGUACUGACUCCCAUCAUCUUCGCCUUGGGGAUCUGGAUUGGCGUCGCUGUUGAUUAGGUCCAUCAUUGCAUCAUCCAUGUUGUCAUUCGGAUUGGCCAUUUCUGCUCAUUUAAUCAAGUGUUAAAAGUUUUUGACACGAUCAACAUAAAUUAUUUGGAUAGGCUAAACUUAGACAAUAUUUGGAUAUAAUAUUUGUCCAUAAAUUUUGUCCACACAUUAUCUAAUGAAUAUUUUAAUACAUAUAAAUAUUUAUCAAUAAGUAAAUCUAGAUGUGUAACUUUUUUAUAAAUAUCUAAUUUGCGAGAUGUGCCACUGCAGGAUGUAGUUAAUAUUUAUCAAUGUGUAAAUCUAGAUGUGCCACUGCAGCAUGUAAUUAAUUUACGAGAUAAAUUUGCGAGACAAAUUAUUUGCAAGUAAACAAGGCCCUCCAUAUGUAUGUUUACUACGCAUGUAAUUAAUUUGCGAGAUAAAUAUGAUAAACGAAACACUUCCAUACAUCUAUGUAUACAUGCCUUAGCUAAAAAUUAGAUAAAACUAGCUAAGAGUAUUAAAUAUAGAGAAAAAAUAACUAAUUACACAGUUCAUAGGGAAACCGCGAGACAAACCUUUUAAGCUUAAUUAGUUUAUGUUAGCCAUAAUUACUAUAAUAACACAGAUAUGCUAAUAACGGAUUAGUUAGAUAUAAUAAAUUUGUCUCACAGUUUUUAGAGAAAUUAUAUAAUUAAUUUUUUAAUUAAUAUCCAAACUGCUCUUUCGAUAUUUCAUAAUUUAUUUUAUACAACAAAUAAAGACUUGUUUAGUUUCGAAAAUAUUCGAUACAACAACUAAGGGCUAACAUAAACUAAUUAAGCUUCUAUAUACAGGAUACAUAUAUAACAAUAAACUAAUUACAACUAAGGGCUAACAUAAACUAAUUACAACACAGGAAAAAUUAUAUCAUAUAAAUUAUAUAAUAUAAAAGAUAAAUUAUAAAAUAGAAAUUAUACAUCUCAUCUCAAUAUCUAUCACUACUAACUAAUUACGACACAGGAUAAAUUAUAUCAUAUAAAUUAUAUAAUACAAAAGAUAAAUUAUAAAACAAAAAUUAUACAUCUCGUCUCAAUAUCUAUCCCUACUAACUAAUUACAACAUAGGAUAAAUUAUAUCAUAUAAAUUAUAUAAUACAAAAGAUAAUUUAUAAAAUAGAAAUUAUACAUCUCAUCUCAAUAUCUAUCCUUACUAACUAAUUACAACACAAGAUAGUUUCUCAUAACAAUUUCUCAUCCAAAUCUAAACAUAUAUAGUUUCUCAUAACAAUUUGCUCAACAUAUAUAGUUUCAAAAAAAACAUCACAAUGCAAAAGUGCCGGCCAAGAGAUCAUCUUGGUACGGUGGCGGCCGAGGGAGAAGAAGCUCUCGGCGGCGCGGCCGGAGAAGAAGGUCUCGGUGGUGUACGGAGAAGAAGGCGCUCGGCGCCGGAGAAAGAGGCGGUGGGGGAACUCCUCGGCUCGGUGGCGGCGGCGCUCCUCGGCUCGGACGGGGACGAGGGCGAGGCGACGGCGGGGAGGAGCGUCGCGCGGCGGAGGAAGUUAGGGCAACGUCGAUCUGAGGAAGAAGACUGUGCGCUUAAAUAUACGCGGGGACCUUUAGUUCCGGUGCGUAUCACCAACCGGGACAUGUUGGUGAUACGCACCGAGACUAAAGGUCAACCCUUUAAUCCUGGUUCCUGGCUGGAACCGGGACUAAAGGCAACCUUUAGUCCCGGUUCCAUCCACCAACCGGGACUAAAUGUAUUUUUGGUGUUUUUUAUUUAUUUAUGCUUACAAUAAUUAGAUUAAUUUUGUUAAUUGCAUAGUAAAUAGAAUAGUAGGUAUUAAUUUAUUAAAAAAUAAUAGUUCCAUUUCUUUUUGUCUAAUUGCUUACAUAAUAAAUUUGGAAACAUAAAAUCUUUUCAUCUCUUAUAUUGGCAAACUGAAAUAUGAAAAAUAAUGAGUAUUUUGUUAAUGCAAAAAUGUAUUAUUUAAUUUUAAUAUCUUAAAGUAGGUGUUUUUUAUAGAAAAUUUAUUUGUGCAUUAUUUAAACGUAAAUUUUGUUUACCAUUACAUCGGAUUAUUUUUUAAAGAUUUUUCUCUAUUUCUUAUUUAUUUAUGCUUACAACAAUAUUCACCAUUACAUCGGAUUAUCUCUAACAACUUUGUAUUCAAAUUUUUUUCAUUUCAUGUCAUCAAAUGGGUCAUUUGACCAAGUUUGACCAAAGUCAAAGCAUUGAUUUUUAGAAACACACACUUUGACCGAACCCUAUAUGGUCCCAAAUAGAAAAGUAACGAAUACAAAGUUUUUUGCACUCAUCAAGUUCUACAUUUGGUCUAAUGGUCAACUUUUCUUUUGGAAAAGUUUGAACCACUCAAUUUUGAAUUUUGAAAUAAUUCAUAGCCACGCAUCGGUUUUCGGAACCCUAGGUGGUCUCGAAUGGAAAAGUCAUGAAUACCAAUAGUGUUCCACUCAUCAAAAUCUACAUUUAAUAUAUAGACCAUUUUUGCAUUUGAUAAAGUGUUGGGAAGUUGUAGUUGAAAAUCCACAAUUGACACAAAUAGUUUCAUAUAGUUUUUGUGAGAUUCAAGAUUUGGUGGGUAUUGUGAACUUAAACUUUCUCAAAUGGAAAAAUUGUGUAUAUAAAAAGUUUAGAUAUUGAUGAUAUCUAACAACUUGGUAUUCAAAAUUUUUUCAUUUUAAGAAAUUUAGUUUGUCACUUGACCAAGUUUGACAAAAACCCGUCUUGAAUUUUGAACAAAUGUGCUUAGGAUUGGCUCAAAUUUAUACAAAUGGAAAAAUGGACAAUAUAUCAAAUGUAGAUCUUAAUGAUCUAUACCAACUUUGUAUUCAAUUUUUUUUCAUUUCAAAUCAUCAAAUGGGUCAUUUGACCAAGUUUGACCAAUGUCAAAGCAUUGGUUUUUAGAAACACACACUUUGACCGAACCCUAUAUGGUCCCAAAUGGAAAAGUAAUGAAUACAAAGUUUGUUGCACUCGUCAAGUUCUACAUUUGGUCUAAUGGUCAACUUUUCUUUUGGAAAAGUUUGAACCACUCAAUUUUGAAUUUUGAAAGAAUUCAAAGCCACGCAUCAGUUUUAGGAACCCUAGAUGGUCUCGAAUGGAAAAGUCAUGAAUACCAAUAUUGUUCCACUCAUCAAAAUCUACAUUUAAUAUAUAGACCAUUUUUGCAUUUGACAAAGUGUUGGGAAGGUGUAGUUGAAAAUCCACAAUUGACACAUAUAGUUUCAUAUAGUUUGUGUGAGAUUCAUGAUUUGGUGGGUAUUGUGAACUAAACUUUCUCAAAUGGAAAAAUUGUCUAUAUAAAAAGUUUAGAUCUUGAUGAUAUCUAACAACUUGGUAUUAAAAAUUUUUUCAUUUUAAGUAAUUUAGUUUGUCAUUUGACCUAGUUUGACCAAGUUUGACUAUUUUUGCAUUUGACAAAGUGUUGGGAAGGUGUAGUUGAAAAUCCACAAUUGACACAUCUCUUAUAUUAGCAAACUUAAAUGUCAUUUCACACAAGUCAUUUCAUUGUUUGAAAUGAUAUAAAAUAAUAAAAACUAAUAUAAAUAUCUUAAGAUACAAUUGUCACAUACACAUACUCUAAUGCAAUCUAUUUAUUAGGCGGGUACAAGAGUGAUCUUCUUUUUGACCUAUGUUCCUUGGUCAUAAUCUUGACGUAACCAUGGAGUGUCCUCAGCAUUUAUCAGUAUGCUCGGAUCUUUGGUCACAUUGAAAGGCGUGAUUCGAUCAUCCCUUUCAUAAUCUUCUGAAAUAUCUGACUUGUCCUCAAUUCCCACAAUGUUUCUUUUCCCUGAGAGAACUAUAUGGCAUUUUGGCUCAUUUGUUUUGUUGUCAUUUUUCCCUCUCUUCCGUUUGGUAGACAUAUCUUUCACAUUAACUGGUUUAACCCCAGGAAGCAAAGGUAUAUGAUGAUCAAAGACUCUUUCAGGGGGCAAGGAGUCCGGUUCGCGAAAAAUAGCAGACUGACUGUCAAUGAACUGUUGAACCUAAGCAGGAACAUCCGUUGGAGCAGGCUCUGUCAGAACAGGACACAAAUGAACCACUUGAGCCAGGCCACCUUUGCGGAUAAGGCACUUCAGCUUCCUGACUUUGAUCUUAUGACAAGAGGUAGGAGAAUCCUUCAUUCCUUUCAAAGCAAUGCGUUGGCCAUUGUGAGAGAACCGUAAGAGUUUGUGCUUCCAAUGAAUCCACAUAGGACUGUGGCGUUCUAGCCAAUCCAUGCCAAGCACCAAGUCAUAACAGGACUCUUGCAUUGUGAGUGAAAGUGUGACCCUAUGCCCACCAUUGAAAAUCAGUGACCUGUUGAGAACUAGAGAUUUUCUGACCAUUUGCAACAGUAACUGAAACUAGAGCAGUAUCUGACACCGCACAGUUCAGGCCUUGAAUAAUCUUAUCACUGAUGAAUGUACAGGAGCUACCCGAAUCAAUCAAAAUCAGAAUCUCCUUAUUGCCCACCAAGCCGUGAAGCUUUAAAGUCUUCUUACCAUGACCUUCUGCAGCAGCCCACUGAGAUAAUUGAAAGACCUCAUCAGUCUCGCUAUUAGUAGACUAAUCAGUGUCAGCAUCAGUAGAAGCUACAGUUCCAAUGACAUCCAGUACGUCCUGCAACACUUGGAGAGAAACUUUCUCAGGACACUUGUGUUGUUUGUUCCACUUUUCACCACACUUCAUGCAUAAGCCCAUUGCACGAUGCUAACUGCAAAGACUGGACAACUUUUCAUCCCACUUGGGUUUGGUGUCUGAAGAGGUAUGGGGACCCAAAACACCAGGUUGACCCAAGCCAUUGGUCUUGCCAGCUUGUUUCUGAAAGUUCCUGGAGGACUUGCUGAAAAAUGGCGCUGCCUGAUUCGCCAGAAUAUUAGCCUGCAUGAGAGCCAAAGAUAGAGCCGCAUCAACUGUUCUUGGCUUAUGUAACCUUAUAGCAGCACUGAUUUUAGGUUUUAAGCCUUGUAAGAAUUUACUAACAAAAAACACAUCAUCCAAAGACUUGUUAUGCACUAAAACCUUAUGCAUGAUGCCCUGAAACCUAUCAAAGUACUCCUGCACCUCCCCAGUCUGUUUGAUCUAAAGGAGUUCAUUCAUAGCAUUAUGAUAUAAGUCUCAACCAAACUUUAAUUCUACAGCAAAGCAAAGCUCAGCCCAACUAAUAUCCCCAUCCGAAUGUCGAGCUUCAUGAGUCUGAAGCCAUGAUUCAGCACUACCAUGAAAAUGGAUAGUGGCGAAUUGAGCCCACAAAUGUGGAGGAACAUGAUACAUAUUGAAAUACUUUUCACAUUUUUCACGCCAGGACUUAGGAUUAGCCCCAUCAAACUUAGGGAAUACAGCUUUCGUUAAACAAACUUCACGCUGAAAGUGGGGAUGCGUAUGAGCAUGGUAAUUGAGAGAGGGAUCUAGCAUGGGAAUAGGAUGAGUAAGGGAUCCCGAGUACUGACCUUUGGCCAGGGGUGGCAGAAGGACCAGAGUCCCCAUAUCCAACCCCUGUGUAGUCGAUUCGACACCGAGGCCCUUGGCCCGUCCCUCUUCCUCGCGCGGCGGGACCAGAGAUGGAGCGGAUUUGGGUUGCGCUUCCAACAUCUCAAUGCGCGACGUGAGUUGUUUGACGUCCUUACUGAGGUCGGAGGCAAACGAAUCCACCUCCGGACGCCAAUGGUUGAAGGCCUCCAUGAGGCCCAGCAUGGACUUCAUCUGUGCCGCCAGGCCAUCGAGCUUGUCCUCCGUGGUAGCCAUGCGAGUUGUUAGGGUUGGAUGUUUGGACUUCGGAGCCAGCGGGCGGAUGCGUGAGUACGGAAGCGGUGGUGGGAGCGGUGGGGCAGCGGUGGUGGGAGCGGAGGGGCAGAGGCGGUGGGGUAUUGACGCUUGUCGGACCAACCGGAGAGGAACUCAACUCAGAUCGAGCCAGGGAACCUCCACGGUAUUUUACGAAUCUAGAUCGAGUGAUAGGUGGGGGAAAGGCUUUGAUACCAGAUGUGGCGAUCCUAGCCGGUACAGAGAGGGAUGGCCGGCGUACACGCACGGUGAGGGAGCACGGCGGCGCGCCGUCUCAAGCAGGAACACUGGAGGAAGAAGAUAGGAUUGGAUUGUUUGUUAUUUCUCACUGUCCACCCAACCUCCCACACAGCGAGUUUAAAGGUUCAGAUACAUGGGCCAUGGCCCAGACGCUCCCAGAGGCAAAGCCAACAUAGGGCCCGACAUUACAUGACACAAUAGUUCAAAGAGACAUAUACUGGGUUAUAACACCAGCUUUGGAGAUGGCGUGGUUGGAUCGUGACCAACGCAGAGCAGUCUUGGGGUAGCCAUGGCCUGCUCAAGAGCACCGCACACGCUCAGCAUGCAGCAGCAGCAAGUAGCUCGAGGUGGAUGGCCAUGGCGGGUGCGUGGUGCUCUGUGGUUGUGUAUGCGAGUGGCGGAGAGGCAAGAGAGGGCGAGAAGGGAGUGGAGGGGAUGUGGAGGCGAGCGAAUGAGAGAGUAGUGAGCCCUUCUGGCUGUCCCAAACGUGAUAUAGAGCAGUAGCAGAGGUGCAGCAAUGGCGGCCACGCAGGCAUUUCAUCGAACACGUGGCGCGCGUCGGAGUAGGCAAGGUGGGAGGCGAUUUUGGGCUUGUUUCGGGAUGAAUUUAGAGAUGGGCCAAAAACGAAGUUUGCUCAUCCCGCUGUGCACUACAACUUUGAUUGAAGAAACUUGGCCAGUAGGUCAACGGAUUAAGAGAUAAUUAGAUGCCAAUUCACGAGUGGCAACAUAUAUUGGAGAUUAGCAAAACCAAGAAUUGAUGAUCGAAACAAUGUCAAACUUGAUGCAACUUUUUACAUGACCUUCUCCAAAUAAUUAUCCACAAAUUUUAUUCUUGGACCAAUUUGAGUUGCUUAACAAAAACACUAGAACGCGGCAUGCCAACGGGUCGACGUCCGUUUAGCGAGAAAAUAACCUUUUGCUGUUUUGGGAGCUAUUUUUACAUAUCCAAAUGAACUCCAAGUUUGAUGACACUUGAUCCAUUGGUUUCAUCAAGAAGAGUGCUCCAAUCAUAUUGAGGAAUCUAAUUGAGUUACCAUAUGAAUUUGGAUAAUAAAACGUCAUGAAGGAGCUAACUCACUGUUGUACUUCCAAGGACUUAGAAUUAUUUCUCAGGGCUAAAAACCAGCAGCUGAUUUGAAUUUUGAGCCACUGUUUGAACUAUUUGCAAGCUGUUUUGGUUCUUGACUCUUGAAUAAAGUACAACUUUUAUUUAGGGUCAAACCUCAUAACUGCAACAGAAUUCAGACUUUCACUUUGGUCAAAGCAGUACCUAAUAAAGCUCCAGAUAGGGUUUUAGGCGAAUUGAAGCAUUUUCUUGACAUAAGCUUGUUGGGUAUUUUAAACGCAAACAGAAAAAUCCGCAAGCGCACGGAUACCGAUGUAGCCUUCACCCGAGAGUAUUCCAGAGUAUCGAUUUUCCACAGAGAACGUGAGUGUACUAAUUAAGAUCCAAGAUCGCCCAAGGAUAACUAUAUAAUAGUUUUUAUGGUGGGAAGAGAGGAAGUUUCCUGAGAGUUCUCUAGUUGAUCUAAGAAUCAAGAAUUACUUCAAGAUUAUCUAUUUUGGGACAUCAGAACACUAACCACAAAAAGAGAUGAGAAGGGGGCUAGGAAGCUCCGACUACGGUCCUACAAACACCGAUCCGAAUGAGGUGGAAUACGUCGACCGUUAGGCCUGUCACUACCCUAAGGCUACCACAACAAUCCGCAGGAUUGGGUGCAAUUCCAGGUAAUUGCAAGACUAAACACCACGUCUAAUCUAUUAAUUACUACUCUAGCAUUAUAAAGACUAGAGCACUUGAUGCAAGCGGGAAUCCAAUAAAUAACUUGAAUGCAAAUAAAAGUAAUUAGAGAACUCAGGAUUAUGAAUUGAAGAACCUGGAGUACGAUGAAGAACGAACCAGAUGCUGCAAAAGUAUAAUGUUGAGGAAGAUCCGACAGAUCCGGCUCCUCCUCCGCUCUCCUCUUCUCUCUCCCUAUUUUCUAGAUUACAACUAGAACUAACUAGAACUAGAACUAGAAGAACUAGAACUAGAACUAGAUGAACUAGAACUAGAUCUAGAUGAACUAGAGGUAGAACUAGAAGAACUACAGGGAUCCUCUCUACGUGGAUGAAGAAUUGAAACCCUAACUUUGAUUCUGUAGAAGAGGUAUGAUCUCCACGGGCCAGGCGGUCUGGUUUUAUAGUCCCUUCAAGUGAAUAUGGGCCAUUGGAUCAAACCGACAUUAAUCGCACAGUUUUCCUUAAUCCUUUAGGUCGGUGGAGUGUUGUCCCCGAAUUGGACUCUGUUUGGUGGAAAAAGGUGGGUGGGCGCCCUCAGGACUAGGGCGGGCGCCCUGUCCGUGAGGCUUCUCGGCUUCCGCUUUGUUCUCGUGGCUUCUGGAGUCUUCUAGAUGAUAGAAAAUUGCGCGGCACGUUAAUAUCUCUAUGUAAACCCGACGUGUGGGCCUUUCUUCCUUAUUUCCUGAUAACCCCCUGCAGAAAUAGACAAACACCAAAACUCGUGGAAUUCUGUUAGAUAAAACCCUAAGUCCAGGUGUUGGUUGCAUUUGGAUCCUUUUCUAUGAUUAGUUGACGGUUAAAUGUGAGCAUUAAGGACUAUCAACAAGCUCCCCCAAGCUUAACCUUUGCUCGUCCCUGAGCAAAGAUGAACUCAAGAGUUUCUGUAGUGGUUUUAUGCCUUAAAGAUACACAUGCGUUCAAAUAAGAUCUCAUCUCUGGGUUAGGGCAAACUGUUAAGAUUUAAGCUUACCCAUUGUACCUUCCACCAUGGGGCUUGCAACCGUCACUUGUGUCUUGAGCAGUUAAAAGAUAGAACGGUCUAGUCAAGCGUCAUGUCUCUUGUUCUUCGAUUAACUAUAGCUCUGGAGUUUUUGCAGAUUUUCAAAUAAAACUCAGAGAUUUCUUGUAUGACUCUCUCAAGCGUCAUGUCUCUUGUUCUCUCUAGUCUCUCUUUUGUGGUAUCCUCAUCAAGACAGUAAUGGUGUAUGCCUUCUCUCAAAGUAUGUGGUAUUUUUGGUAUGAGGCAUAGUGACAUUGCCUUCUCUCUCACCCUACACUAAUAAGGCUUUUGAUAUCCGGAGCUCAUAGGUGGGAGGCAGCUAAUACAUACUUACAAGACAUUUAUUGCAUAGUCAAACCAUGGAUCCAGAAGAACAAGUCAAUAAGUCAAAUCAAGAUGUGCAUGUGUGGCGAAUGAAUGGUGUAUGGUGAUGAUGAUGAUAACAAUGGUGAAAGUAUAAUUCUACUUUUGCUCUUUUGAGGGGAUAUGUACCUUUCUUGCUCUUUUGAAACUUUUUGAGGAGAAUGAGAUGCUCUAUAUUUUCUUUUUCUUUUCUUUCAGAUGGGUAUCUUGUACCCCUAAUUCUACUAUCGGACACUUGUCUAUUUUUACCUCUCGUCUCACUUUUUUUUCUUUCGAGGUUCCGGGCACUUGCCCCUUUUUAUUUCCUCGUAUUCUUCCUUUUUUUUCUUUCUCUUUUUUUAGAGAACUCAUCUCAUGAGAUAAUGUAGCAAGUGGUAGUAACAAGAUAACUUGAGCAUUUAUUUCACAGGGGAAAAAUAGAAAUAUUUUUGGCUAUUCUCUCCCAGAUUAGGAGUAGAAUAUUUUUGGGUGGUUCUGGAGAUGGAAAUGGAUUGAUAUAUGUGAUGCGUACUUCCAGAGUAGAAGCAGCAUGUAUGAGUGAACGUGUAAGUGAAUCUUGAUUUAACCACAUGACAAGCUCCUAAGGGUCUACACAGCUUGACCACACUCAAUGCUCAUAAGCAGUAAAAAGUAAAUGUGUGGCUCAAAGUCUAGCAAGCAUGUAUAUAUGGCUGUGGUAGGAAUUUAAACUCUCAUCAUACAGGAACUCAUCAUGUGAUAUUUUAAAGAUUUUCAAAGAUAAAAUUCUCCAGAAUUCUAGCAUCUCUAGGAACACAUAAACAGCAGCUCAACCUUCCCAUAUCAUAUCCGUUAACGACUUAGACUUUAGAUCAAGUACUCUUCCUACAAGUUUAGGUUUAGAGCAAAUCUUAAUUAAUAACAGUCAUGCCUAAACUUGAGAGAGAUUUCAAUUUUGAGAACUAGUCAUGGUAGAGCAACUAUUCAUCAUUUCCAUUUGAGAGCUUAUCAUGAGGGUUCAUAGCAAAUUUUAUUUAUUUAUUUAUUUAGCAAACUAAGCAAAGACAUAUAUAAGCACAGAAUAUUUAUUUUGGUUUUUAUGAUUAUGCAUCUUUUAUUAUUUGAGUAAAAUAUAAACGUGAGUAGAACACUUAGCUGGGUAAAUGGGGGUGCUCUCCCCCAAGCUGGAUUUUGACACAAUUUCUUCUAAUGUAGCUAGCAGGUGGCGGAGGUGUAUUUGAAUGUCGGCAGCACUCUUUCAGCGAUUAGGAUGUCCUCCGUCUGCUAGUCUUCUUUGAUCCUUGAAUUCUGUGGAGCUCAAAUAGACAACAAAGCUUUGUGGAACUAGUUAAGUGUUAGCAUAAAUACCUAGCCUUUAUCAUGUUGAGCCUCCUCAAUAAAUGUUACACUCUUUAGUAGGAUCAUAAAUUUAUUUUUAUAAUUUUAUUUUUAUAGGAUAGGAAUAUAUUUAUUUCAUUUUUACACCACCACAGUGAAUGUACUUAUGGGUUUUAUGCCAUGAGCAUACUCACAUGGGGCUUACUAUUUUCAACAUUUUUAUUUUCUUUUCAAGAUGAUAUGAACCUGAUUAACUAACCAAACUAUUUUAAAUAAUUGAAAGGGAAAAGAUAACUACCAAGUUUACCUUUUGGCAAGGCGUUCGGUGUUUUUACGUCCUCCGAACGGGACUCUCCAUUUUCUCAUUCGUCCUGGGUUUCGCUGGAUGGCGUAGUCGGUGGUUCCGGCGGCGCCUCCUCUUCAUGUGUAACUAUCUUCUCUCUCCACACCUGACUCGGUGCUACGGUCUCCUCAGGACAGUUCUGUUCAAGUUGUAUGUCUUCAGACCUUACAACUUCUCCUUCAUAGUCUACCCAUCCGUCCAUGAUGAUUUUGCCUUCUCUGGUUACGGUUGCGUCGUCUUCUUCUUGUCCUGACCUGCUUAGAGUCUUCAACUAUAUAAUUAAGGUCAGUAAAAUAGCGGCGUACCUUGUUCGAGGGGAAGUGCAUGUGGACUUCUCUGGUUCCAAUCUAGAUGAUUGCUUUAACAGUGCUGAUGAACGGUCUUCCAAGGAUGAUGGGUGGAUCGUGUUCGUCUUCUCCCAUGUCAAUAACCUUUAAAUCAUCUGGAGCUGAAUGUAUGUUGGUUUUAAGGGCAUGAUUCCGAACAGGAGCUGAUAGGUGAUUGGGUCGUCCUUUUUGGUUAGGAACGGUGACUUAAGUCGACGGUCUUAACCUCCUUGAACUGCAGUAACCAUCUUAGCUGACUCGGUCUACAUUUGCCUAUUCCUGUUCCUCCUGUUGGUCCUCUUCCUUGGUUCAUGUCGAGAUUGCUCUGAGAUUUGUGUAGUCUUGUUCUUGAAGGAAAAUGUCUCCUUCCUCCCCUUGAUGUAGAAACUGAUCUUGGCAGCACUAGCGUAAAUGACAGCUCCUGAGGUGUUCAGGAAUGGCCUCCUUGGACGCAGAAGUUCUUCAAUAUUCUCUUUGGGAAACUUAGUGUCUGAUCUGCAAGCCUGGGCAUAAUGUUGACGUUGGAGCCAAAGUCUCAGAGUGCUUCGAGGAAGUUCACCAUGCCGAUGGAGAUCGGGAUGACGGGGCG